GGAAAGGGGUUAAAAGGAGGAUGUGUUGUGUACAUGCACCGACUCCACACAAGGAAAGUAAGCAUUAUGCACUGCAAACAUGUACUAAUAAAAACUCUAGCGGUUAAGUUCAUUACGCUUUUUUUUUAAGUUCUUUUAUUCGUACAUUUUAGGGAUACAAUUCAUUUACAUUUAUCAUUGGGUGUUUGUACCUGUACAUGAUGUGUCUUGGUUCUUAUUUUUUCCCCAUUACCUGUGCACCUCACCCCCUCCGCCCUUCCGUAUUUACAUAGGUUUCAUUUCCAUUUUUUAAUCUUUUCUCAUAGUUUUUCCUUUCCCUCUUUUCCUUUCCCCUUCCCCUCCCUUCACCCCUUCAUCUUUGGACCUUUUUUCCGAUUUCAAAUUAUCAAUUAUUCAUUUUAAUCAUUUUAACCUUUGUUUACACUUUCAGUUUCUCACACUAGUGAAACUAUUCGGUAUUUGCACAUGUGUGUCCCAUUUAUUUCACUUAAGAGUAUGGCCUUGAUAUGCAUCCAUUUAGCUAUAAAUGAUCAUACCACAGAGAUAUAUGUGCACCCAUGUUCAUAGCGGCACAGUUUGUAAUAGCUAAAGCUUGGAAACAUCCCAAGCACCCAUCAACUGGAAACUGGAUAAAGAAAAUGUGAUUUUUUUUUUAUAAGAUGGAGUACUACUCAGCCAUAAAGAACGAAAAACUAAGUUCAUUAAUCUUAAGGAUAUUUUCAGCUCAUACAGAGACUGCAAGAAUGUAAGAGAAAUAAUUGGGAAUAUUUUAAAUUACUAACUUGCUAAGCAUUUUUCAAGGGUUAAAAGGUUUAGAGGAUAAAUGCUUAUGACUAUGUGAUGCAUACAGCACAUGUAAAAUUACAUACCUUAUUUUCAUGUUUUAUUGAAUGUAUUCCUUUUACUGGAAUUUAAGCUUCUUGAAGAUGGCCAACUUGAUUUGUCAGUAAUAUUAUUCUGUGUGCCUAGAUUAGAAUGGUUUUGCUACUCAUAGCAGGUGUUCAGCAAAUGUUUGUUGAAUAAAUGAAUGGUAGGCAUUCCACCAAUAUUGUGUUCACUAUUUGCUUAUUAGUGAACCACAAAGGCAGUAAUGUGAUAAAAUUUUUAUUCAUUUAUUUAACAUAUUAAAGGAGUGUCUAACACAUAGUAGGCACUCAGUAAGUAUUUGAUGAUUGGAGAAAUGAAUUAGUAUUCCAGUAUGCUCAAGGAUGAAUUUUUAAAUAACUACGAAUCUGCCAGAGCUUGGCUAACGAAGCACCAUAAACUGGGUAGUUUAAGCAACAGAAUUUUUCUCUCACAGUUCUAGAGGAUGGAUAUCCAAAAUCAGGGUGUCAGCAGGAUUGGUUGCUUGUGAAACCUGUGAGAGAGAAUCUUUCUCAUGCCCCUCACCCAGCCUGUGGUGAUUUGCUGACAAUCUUUAGUGUUCAUGGACUUAUAGAAGCAUCACUCCAAUCUCUGCCUUCAUCUUCACAUGACAUUCUCCCUGUUGGUAGCAAUAAAUUGUAGAGCUCACUCUACUGCAAUGCAACCUCAUCAAAAUUAGUCACAUCCACAAUGACCCUAUUCCCACAUAUAGUUAUGUUCUGCAGUACUUGGGGCUAGAACUUUAACCUAUGAAUUUGGGGGGCACAUAUUCAGCCAUAAUACUAAAAUAACGCAGAGCUUCAGGUAGUAACAUUUUGAUGGAUGACAUCUAUUUGAAAAACUUCAGCUUCUCAAAAUAACAUCUAGUUUUAUGAUUCUAUAUGGAAAUUGAUAUAGUGGUAUUAAAUAGCUUUUACUAUGUUAUGCAAAAAUGUGUGUCUGUAGAGAAACACAAAGAAGUCCAAGGAGCCUAACUGGAUAGCACAUUUUCUUCGAUGCUAAGUGGCCUAAUGUGACCAGUGGGUUAUGUGGAAAAGGCUGCUGAGAGGUUUCCAAAAACAUUUGUAUGUGAAGCAAAGGGGUUUGGGAUUUGGCUUUAUUUUAAAAACAUGAGAGGACCAACAUAGAAGUCAAUUGAAUGGUAGAACAGUGUACAAAUGGUAAACUUUAUUGAAUAUAAAUUUUACCUCAGUGAACCCUACUUUGAAAAGGAUUAAAGAAAACAACGUGGUAGAAGAAUGCACAUGGGGACAAGCAACUCAGAAGGUUUUGGUACCAUUUUACCACCAAAGCUACUGCCCUGAGUCCCCUCAGGCUUCAGAGACACUUGCCUUCAAAAUAAAAUGUAUAAAAAAAUAAAACAAACAAAAUCUGUAAAGUUAUUGUAUUAAAGAAAAAUCAUACUUAUAAAAAAAAAAUGAAAUUGCUAAUGCCAGCCCCUUUAGCAGCUGUGGAAGCUGAUCAAAACUGGGCUGAUCAUCUGCAAGCCUGUGACUGUCCAUUUCCAGGCUUGAUGCCAGAAAAACUCCUGGGCCCAUUCUAAGGACAGGUACAAGAGCACGGGUAAGCUAAAGGGUAAGACUGAUUCCCAAAUGGUGGCAGGAAAGGAAUCCUAGAUGAAGAGGACAUACACUCCAUGGGCUUCUGGGAAGAUAGCUAGUUUCAAGGAAGAUAGGCCACAUGUGUAGGUGAAGGAGAAUAUGUCCUAAAGUGAGCAGAUUCUCAGGGAACACAUCUACAAGCUGAAGGCAGACCAGGUCCACAAGGCCAUGCCAGCAUGUCAGCAAUGGGGAGCACCUCCUGGCCAAAAAGGAAAUGAUCAUUAAUACUGUCAAAGAAGUCAAAGACCAAGAAAUAAAGCACUCCCUCUUCUUUUGGUACAUUGCCUUGGUGGUUACACCAGUCAUUGGAAUAAAACAAGCCUUUCUCUUCUGGCUGAAAAAGAAAGAAGCAGAACAAGAAGAAGAGGGGAUUUUCUUGUGUGUGAAGUUGACAAAAAAUAGUUUAAUUAGAAACACAGAGAAACCAGAUUUCAAUAGGUUGAGGAAUAAAUGAGAGUUUAGGAAGCUUAAAGUUACCACAAAGUAGGAAAAGAUCUGAUGCAUAGCAGAAGGUUUCUUGUUUGUUGCUUAGUAUGAGGACUGCUAUCUUUGUUUGUUACUUAGUAUGAGGACAGCUAAAGCAUGUUGGCGGGCAGUGGGAAAAUUGAAAAUAUGAAAAGAAGGAAGGAAUAACUGAUGCAAUAAGAUUGACUGUGGAGAAGGUCAUCAGUGCUGGAGAGAAGGAUCUCUGAACUGUUAUAAAUGGGUUCAGUGUCGGAGGUCACGUUAUUAGCCAGAGGUGAAAAGUAGGGGAACAGUUAUAAGGAAUGAAAUAGUGAAUGAAACUGGAAAAAAGAAAUUGACUAAGAACAAAAUAAAGAGUUAGAAAGUAGUUCUGAUACUGUAGAUCAACCUGAAAACCAUAAUUCUGAGAAGCACCAGACUGUACAGUUUUGAUUUUUCCCCAGCAUUGCUUAACAGUCUAGGAGCUGAGGAAGGAACGUAUUAUCAGAUUCAUUUGGGCUCAAGAACUAGGUAAUUGCAGUUGAGAACCAUAGAUAAGGAAAAUGAUGGAACAGAUGAUGUCAUUAAAGUUAAAAACUCUGAGGGAAGAAGAAAUUAAAGAUUAAUAGUCUGGGAGAAAAAGGGAAAUAAUGAAAACUAAAAAAGUCAUAGUAAAAAAGGUAGAGUACUUGUUUUGGGGGCAAAAUGUCUGAAUAAGGAAGCUGCCCCUACCACACAUAUGUUUUGCCACAAAUCUCAGAAAACCACAGAAAGUGGGCUGAACUCUUUGGAGAACAUAGACUUGACUCAAAAAACAGCCUGAUGGUCAGGAUUUCCUUCCUAUUUGCCAUUAAUUUAAAAGGAACAGUGUUACUCCACUUUAUGUUAUUGUAACAAAUACCUGAGAUUAGAAGCUUUAAAGAGGAAAGGUUUAUUUUGACUCACAGUUUGGAAGUCUCAGUCCAUGACCAAUUGUCCUCAUUGCUGUGUGCCUGUGGAGGCACAAUCUAUGGAGAGUGUGAAGAGAGAGUGUGUGGAAGAGAAAGCCCAUUCACCUCAUCACUGGGAACAAGAGACACAAAGACGAGGAUCCAGGGUCCUAAUAUCUUCUUCAAAAGAAUGUUCCCAAUGUCCUAACUUCCUUCCACUAAGCCCCACAUUCUAAAGGUUCCACCAUUUCCCAGUAGCACCAGGGGCUGGGAACCAAGCUUUUAACACUUGGGCCUUUGUGACACAUUCAAGACACAAAUUGUAGCAGUAACCAUCAUUAACAUCAUUAUCACAGAAUCCUAAUCCUUAGGGAAAGAAUGUCACCUGUGUAUGUAAGAGGAGAAGAAAUAGGAGCCUUCCAUGGGAGAGUAGCAAUCAGCUUGACAAGAGACAAAUGUUUUUUCUUUUUACUUCAGAUUCCAAAAGUGUAGUUAUGUUGUCCUAAAGGUGUGUUCUUUCAUUUCUCUUAUUUUAAGGUUGUUAAUUUAUUGUUCUGUAGUCUCCAGAGCUGCCACCUUCUCUUAGUCUUCACCCUUCUUUUCUUAUUUCUCCUUUGUCCUGUCAGCCUAUUUUUAGGCAUUGAAAAUUGUCAUGUGUCUCAGCAACCUUCCUGUACUCAGUGUCCAUAUAAAAUAUUCCCAUAACCUUAGUAUUAAAUUUUGCCCCUAAAAGACUGGGCUAAGAAGUUGGAGGUUUGUUAGAGAAUACUUUCAGGUUCUUUGCAGAGGACCCUGUAUAGCUAAUCUGUCAUGCCCUAUGAAUUCUGAUGAACCUAGGUGUCUCUCUAUAGUAUUCAUAAGAAGAAUUCUGCUCCUAUGGGCCCUGUCUCCAUAUGUCAGCCUUACAAAGUAACCAACCAUGUUAUUCACUGUAAGAUACCAUGCUCUAGUUAUCCUUUACUUGCUUGAGUAGACUAAGAUGAACAUAAUAUACAGAGUUUAAUAGUUUCCUAAACUCUGAAAAUUCCUAAGCUUCUUCUCUUGGUGCUUUCUAUAUAUAAGUUCAAAAAACAGCUUUGGGAGAAUUUCAAUAAGCAAUUCUAAAGAAAUCUUUAUUUUUUUCCAAAUAAAUUCUUGUAGAAUUCCGUUUUUCCCCUGUUUUUUUCCAACUUCUGAUCCUAUUAUAGCUCUUUCCAGCAAUGCUAAAACCCAGCCGGUCUGGAGAUUAAUAUGACCAGACAUACCAUGAAUUUUUUAAAUCUCACAAGUCCCAGUUUCUCCUUCAUCAAUCAAAUAUAGGUUGUGUGUGUUGCAGUAUAUUAUCAUAAGUCUUCCCUAAAUUCUUUUUUUCUUCCUUUUUUUGUCUCACUGUCCUCUAAAUUAUUCCUAAAUGCUUCCUAUUAUAAAAAGGUAGAAGAACCUGAAGAACAGAGAAAGAAAAUGAUUUGAUGGAAGUUGGAAAGAGAAAGCAUACUAGGAAAAAGAGGAAACCAAUGAGGAUAUGGAAAAAGUAGUGAUUUCCUUUUCUCCUACUCCCUCCAGACCCCUUUUAGGUUUUGUUUUGAUACUUUUAUUUAACCUAAUGCCCUCAAAUGACCUAGUCCUAGAAGUUUGUUCCUAGCAACCUGUACAGCACGUCUUCUAUUUUCCCAGCAGACUGAACUCUCCUCUCCGGAGAGUUCUCCCAAGCCCCUUAUUCAUAGACUCGAAGAUUUGAACCAAUUGCCAUUAAUUCCAUGUACACUUUAUACCAUGCUGGCAUGGAGAGUGUUAAUAGCUGAUGUAAUUCUGAAAGAACUUAAGCAACAAUUUGGUUUUACUUUAUUAUCAUUCAAAAUAUAAACAGGUAAACUACAUGUUGAAUUCAUUAAAUUCUUCCUGCACUGUUUAGAAAUAUGAAAACUGCAUUUUUUAAAAGGGGACUGAUUGGUGUCAUGUACGUAUUUGUUCAUUUCUGUUUAUGCAAGAUAAUAAGAGUAUUAACAUGGAAGAGGAAUAAUGGUAUUUAUAAUUUCAUCACUACUGUUUAUAUAAGAUGAAAAUGUCUGAAAAGAAAUGGGGAGAGAGUACUUGCUGCUCUCUAUAUACAUUAAAUUACUCUAUUUUUAUUGAUAAGGCAUGUGAGAAGAAAAACAAGUUUAACAACCUAAAGAAAAGUUAAUAUUCUUUAAUUCAUAUUCACUAACAUUAACCUAGGGUGGCUAGGUUCAGAAAAUGAAGCACUAAAAUGUAAUGGAGGGGCUACCUCCUUAUAAAGGAAAAUGAGCGCCAGAGACAUGUGCUUUACUAAAUCCUCUCUGAGACUGAAACUGCUUGAGUAAGAUUAUGGUCCUCUAUUGAAUGCUGAAGUUUCUAUCCUAGGGAAUGGUAAGUGACAUCAGGAAGACCAGUGACUUAUAAUUUGCCUGUAUCUUGAGAUAUGCUUCCUAGGGCCUGAAGCCCCAUUAAAGAUUCCAAAAAAAAAAAAAAAAAAGAUACUUUAGGUCAGAUUUUAAGAAUCCAUUUCAAAAAUUAAAUAGUUCUAGGUAGACUUUUAUAAUAUUUCUAUGGUAGUUUCAAAAAGAAAGAUCUGGGACUAGAGAAGAGGUUUCUUAGGAUGUACAUUUAGGAUGUCAAAUUAGCUGAAUUGUUAAUAUAAUCCAUAAAAGGUCAAGUCAUUCAUGAGGGUUUAAUGAUUAUCACAGGGCAACUGAGGGAAAAAAGCAAAUGAAGAUAAACAGGAGUUGUUUUGUGCUGGUUAUUAUAUUUAUGAUAUUUUUCUCAAGUGAAAAUGGAGGCAUAAAUUCUUUCAAAAGAGUGAAUUAGAGUGGAAGGUCCUUGAGGGAAGGAGCAGAACCUCCUUCACAAAGUAAUAAGUAAUAGGUUCUAAAAAAAAAUCUGCUAAAUUAAUGAAUGGCUCCAUUUAAAAAUAAUUUUCAUAUUCUCCUUUAUCUAAACCAACUAUCAAGGUAAGUUUAGGAACUUUACUAGGCUCAGUUAAGAAAGAGUUGAUUUUCAACAAGGACAUAAAGUCAUUAAUUUUUGUAAUUCAUUCUUUUUAAUCCCCAUUCACAUUCCCAAUUCUGUUCACCCCAUAUUGUAUUGUUAAUGGAACUAAUCCUGUAUGAAAGUGAUGGGGUAUGAAGCCAGAAAGGUAGUGAGAUGUGUAUUGUAUUGGGCCUUAUAGCCCCUAGUAAGGGUUUUGGGAUCUCAACCAUCGAAGAGCCUGAAAAAUUCUAAUGGGUAGGAGGAAAUGGAUAGGAGAUUGCUGUUGAAAUCACAGCAACCCUGUCAUUGUAGGAUGACCGGAUGAGGCAAUUUCCACUGAAGGCUGGAAGUAUGGAUUUAGUAGCUUGAUUUAGGCUAUAUGUCAAAUAUGACAUUCCCAGCUAGUGUAAAUAAAGGCAAACUGUGCCUCACUGAACUUUCCAUUUGUGCCUUAUCACCAGUUUUACCAACCUGACAGUCCCAUUUGGCAGCCAUACCUAAAAGAAGCUCAAAGAAUAGUAGCAAGUGUGCUUUAGAAAUUUCAAAAGAUCUCCAGUUCCAACCAUAAGCUUUAAGACGAUUAAAACAAGAAUUUUAAAUAUUAGGUAGAUUUUCAUUUGUAUUAAUUGUUGCUAUGCUAGGAAUUAUAGAAUUCCCGGGCACUUAAUGAUGUGUGCUUAAGUCACUUUGCAGAAGAAUUAGAGGUUGAAAGUCCACACAAGAUGUACACUCUCUGUGAUCAAGUCCUAACAAAGCAAGCCAAUUUACUGCAUGUCCUUUUGAGAAGGGAGAGAUGUGAUAAUUUUCCUAAAAUGGGACAUUCAGAAGAGGUCAUUUUCUUGUCUGUUUUUAUCUAAAUCUUUUAAACCCUGAAGCCAUGUACUAGUAGAACUGAGGGAAAUAGCCUAGAAUUUUUCUUGUCAUUUACAGAGAUGACAGACUUUAAAAUCUGAUGGCUUUUUCAAAAGCUUCUAACAAGACCUAGAACUUGCCUGGCUCCAUUUAUCUAGCCAAGAGACAUUUUUAUGAUUUAUCCAUAGAGGUUUUUAGAAGAACCUUACAUAUACUGUCUAAAUUAAUGAUAUUCCUUUCUCUUUCCAUGACAAAAAGCACUCUACACUAUAUACAUUAUGCUAAAGGUUUUUUUUUAAACAUGUGGACAUAUUCUAUAAAAGCAUUUUCAGUUUCAUCAUGUUGACAAGCUGAUUCUAUUAAAUCACCCACCAUCAUCAUGUUCACUUUUUUUCUUCUUUUUUGAAAAGUUAGAAAACAGUGAUCACAGAGUUUUCAAGGCAUUCACUUUGGCUAAAAUAAAUCCAGAAAAACAUGAGUCUGUUCCUUGAACUGGAAAGAAAGAUAUGUCAUUCUCUCUUCAGUCUUUCUCUUAAAACUACUUAGGAUAAGGAAGGAGGCCAUAGCUCUUUUGAAAAUUUUUCCAGAAAACUGAGAUUUUUAAAAUGUUCUGAACAUAGAUCAAAUGUUUCUACCUCAUUAUUUAUUAUGUAUUAUUAUUUGUUACUUAAAAUAGGCAGUGCAAAACAUUGAAUGAAUGACAUGAAAGGGUUUCAUUCAAAGAUUUUUGACUAUACACCCUCAGAUAUAUUGCUAUUCAAUAAUAUUUUAGAGUCACGCUGCUGUUUUGAAUUAGGGCAGAAAUAUCCCUACUCCUCCCAACCCUGUGCUUUCCUUACUGAGAGAGAAUAAUCAUAUGAUCACGCUGCUGCUGGAUCAUUUAAAGCAUUGAGUAGAAGUGUGAAAUGAGAGAAAAAAUGCCCAGUAUGGGGUUAAUUAGCUCUGUGGAGUUGUGGGUGGGUCACUUCCUCAGGACCAAAUCAUGCAGGAGGAACUAUGCAUAUGCAGACUUACAGAAUAAAAAGAAAGACAUAAACCUUCAGACUCUGGGGCACAAAUUGAUUGGAAACAAGAAAGGAAGUCUUAUGUGCUGUGAGUCCUUUGGGCUCCAUUGGUCAGAGACAAAUGGUCUUCCCUUAAAGUGUCUGGUACAGGCCACUGUCAGACACUGAAAAUAAAUCCAUGGUUUAAGAAAGCCCUGGCAAAAGUGACUAUUUUUUUUAAUUUACCUCUGUUGAUCCUUUAUAAAUUAAUAUCUUCUCAGUUUCCUUUAAUGUGCCUUAUUUUCCAGGUCUUAUCUUGGAAACAACCUAAUUUCUUCCUUAAAGCAUGGGUGAAGAAUCUUUUAUGAUUUCAUCAUUGUGUCUCACAGACUGCUACUGGUUCCCUGCCUGCGGAGAUCAGUUCAGCUAUAGUUUGGCCUGAGGGAUUCCUACUAGGUUGUUUACAGCCUAAUCUUUUCAUGAAGUGGGAGGUGAAAGAGCACACAGAAAACAUUCUCAGUUCCUAGAUCCUUAAUAGGUGACUACAAGAAUUCAGAUGUUUACAAGGAAAUCUCACCAGCCAGGUUUUCCAGGACAGAAAGGCAUUGUAAAAUCUCAUUGAGAACUUGCUAACAAAAACCAGGAACCAAUGGACAUAAACCAUAAGAAAAACACUUUCGAUGAAUAUGUUAAUUAAGUUUCAGUGCAAACCAUUUGUGUUUUUUUGUUUCUACCCAAAUUACCCUGACAUUAUUUAGAAGAAACUUCAUAAAGUAUAUGGACAGAAAGUCCCAAAAUGUUCAUAACUUUUGAAAGGAAACAUAUGAUGUAUGCAUAUUUCUAUAGAUAUUUUUAUUUGAUCUCAAAUGGGGAAGCAGAUGAACAGCUGGAGAAUUUAAAGAGUCUGGGACAGAACCCACUACCACCACCACCCUCUCCCCCCACACAAACACCAAAUAUUUCCCUCAUUACCUGUAAAAUAAACUUGAAUGUAGAUCUUGCAAUGACAGUUAAGAAAAUGCAAAUUCCUUUAAGAGGAAGUAUUAAAACAAUUGCAUUAAUACAUUUUUAGAAAACUGAGAGAAGGUUGUGGUUGGGGAGGAUAGAGAGCUGACUGAGAAUGUCUCCAAAGAAACAGUCCCAGUCACUUUUGUUCCUUUUUCUUUAGCUGCCUGAUGAUAGGGAUGUGGAUGUGGAAAUAAGAAGAGAUGGAAGGAGGGAGACGGAAUAAUAAGCUUUAUGAAUUCUAAUAACCCAUGUUAUCAGCUUAUUGUGUCACAGCUUUUCAAAAUUCAAGUUGCUAGUUAGCUUGACAACAUUGCUGUUCAGUUCAUUCCUGUCAUUUGAAAAACAUAAGCAAUGGCUACAUGCACCACCCAUUAUCCUAGUGAGGUUGUCAAAGUUAGCUUUAUGCUGACUUUAUUUUCUGUAGUUCUACUGAACAAAAUGUUUCUUUUGAAAGGUUUUAGACCUCUAUCCUCCCAACUCCUGAUCACAGUAAUAAUCAACCUCAAGAAGUCAUUAGUGAAAACUAGAACAAUCUCCUAUAACAAGUAGAUGCAGAGAAAUUGGCAUAGUUUGUGUCUUUGAUUUGUGUUCUUAUAAAAAUAAUGGGUUGCAAGAUAAAACUACAUUUUUCUCUCUCUGUCUCUUUUUUAACUGGAUCUUUAGAAGUUACACUGGAGCUGAGGUUUUGUUGUUUCCCCCCCCCUUACAAAGGUGGAAUAAUGCUCAAAGGUUUUAAUAACCAAAGUCCAUCUUUAGAAAUAGCUUUCUUCUAUAAUGUACUGCCAAUUUAUUAUGUGUGUGUAUUUUGACCUUCCUGCUUUGGGCUGCCUGUUGAUUGGUACAUGUUAGUGCUUUGCUUAUAAGAGUUGGGCAAUAGUUCAGUGAUCCAGUCCAAAUCUGGGCCAUAGAUAGAAUGGGCUCAUCUUCUAUUUAAGAAAUGUGGCAAACUGCUUUAAAUGCAUUUAGUUCAGACAAGGUCAUUGAAACUGUUCAUCUGACCCUGUGUGCUGUAUGUAAUGGACACUUCUACUGAGCUCCAAAGCUGCAAGGUAAAAGGACAAGAAAGCCAGUAACUUGCCACCCUGGCUAGAGCUUCUCCGGGAGUCUGUUAUUGGAUUUGCAUUCUUAAUCAUAUGGGGCCCACGUUGGUCAUUUAAAGGAGUUGUUCUAUGGUUCUUUUGCUGUCUUUGAAGAUAGUCCUGGGAAUAAUAAAAGUGAGUUCUUAUAUACUGAACUUUUUCUAACUUUUUCUUUAAUUGGAAAUUGAGUUUAUAUGCAUAGUCAGUACCAAGUUUAUGAAAUAUUCAGCUAAAUUUCUUAGAUGUAAACUAAUAAAUUGUUAAAAUGUUUUCCUCUAGCUAAUCAUUAUGUCAAAACUAUAAUAGAUUCAUGUACAUUUUUCUCCAAUUUUAUUUGUGUCAUAUGCACUUGCCAAACUGAAAUGGUAUAGAAGUACCAUAUACAGUAUUUUGAAUUUAAUAGCUAUCUGUAUUGCCUAAUCCUUUUUUAAUUUUACAGUGUAUUUUACUAACCUGUGGCUCUGUAUAAUUUUUAGGUUUAACAUGUUAUAGGACUUUGUAGAAUCAUAUGGAGCAAAUCAAGUCUAGAGAGGUUAUUGAAUUCAUCCCCCUGACUGGAGAAAGAACUGCAUUUAUUCCAUACUAAAUAGAUAAAGAUCUUUCCUAUCUUUAAAGAGCUAUGAAGAAAGAAAUUUUCUAACUUCUCUUACCAAUCUAUUUGAUUAUUUAGCACUUUCAUAUUUAAAAUGUUCCUCUUAAAGUCUUAAAUUCUUCACUGGACAGUUUAAUAUCAUUUUGCCUUAGGACAAGAAUGCUGAUCAUUAUCCUCUUUGUAAACAGAAAACUAUGACAAAUAUACAUUAGCUCUUUUUUCCCUAAGCUAAAUUAUCCCAUUAAAAAAAUUUACUUUUGCUCUUAUAACUCUUUUCAGUGGCACAGGGGACUAUUUUAAAAACUUCUGUCAUAUAUGAUGUCUCUGAGAAAGGCACUGCAUAUUUUAAUUUCACCAUGCUGAUGUGGAAAUAGCCACAGCUUGUUCAUUAUAUCCUGAUGGACAGAGCAUUUGUGUUCAUUUAACCUUGAGGUUUAAACUUGUUCCCAAAAAAGUAACUGACUCAUAGCAUUGGCUAGAGCCAUGAAUAAAGAGCAUCAGUUUUCCUAAUCUUUAAGCUCAUCUUGCCCUCACUCCUAAAAUGCACUAAAAUUAACUUUUCCUUGACCUCUCUCUGGUGCUAUUUAUUUACUGAUUUAACAACUUUUUUUUCUAUCAUCUUUGUCUCCUAAAAUAGAUGGACGGCAUUUAUUCAACAAACAUUGGAGUGUCAUGCUGUGUUUAACACACUAUGCUAGGCUUUGAGAUUCAAGUGUGAACUGUUAGCAAAGGCUCAGAGACAUAGAUGUUCUCACAUGCUCAGGGAGGAGGAAAUGGGCUGUCACAGUAUAUAAAGAAACAAUGGAGGAAAAACAAUUUUAAAAACUGGAGAGAUGGGGUGGAGCCAGAUUGUGAAAAGCCUUAGAUUCUCUUAAACAUCUAGGAGGUAGUGACAGAAUGAAAGUAACUUUUUCCAAUCUAUAUUACAGAACACUCUUUCCAAAUCUUUAGAACAGACUUUGCCCAUGUUGUCCUCAUGAUUUAAUAGCUACACAUCAUUAGGUACAAGUACCGACUUAAUUUAUAUAUUUUGAUAUAACUUUAGUGAUGUAAUUUUGCUUGUUGUAUUGUUUUUAAACCAUUUGAGGGAACCAUUUGAGUAAAGAGAGUCUUCUGUUCACACUGAUCUGAAUGUUUCUUUCUCCCUCCUGCUGUGCUCAUAUUUAUUCCAAAGCCCUCUGUGCCGCUAAUAUGUUACUUUCUGUGUUUAUACACCAAGUAAACUUGGGAUAAGCUUGCCCUGUAAUAGGCAUAAUCUCUUUGUACCAAACGACAUUAAUGGUAGAUUGUGAGCAGAAUUACAACCAAGUGCCUCUGAUUAGACCACCUGAUAGCAUCACUCGGAUGCUUCAGAGUCACCUAAAGAGUAUCAAUUUACUGUUGAGUCAAAGAUCAUAAUACAUCAAUCCUUCUGAAAUCUAUAAAGCUACAACCUCAGGAAUUUGAGAUAUGGAGAGAAAAGUUAUUUGAAAUCAGAUUAUAAAGUCUUCCUAAAAAUCAUAAUGCUAAAGGUUUGGGUCUAUUUUAGGAGCUAAAAUCAUGCUAAAUGUAAAGAGAGGUAAGGCCCUAACCACCCCUCCCAGCACUACAGCUUUCUAGUUUCUCAGGCCCCUGUACCUGUAAGAAUCAGGAAGGGUAGGAAGACUUGUGCAAGGUGGAGUGGAGUGUUAACAUUGUAUCUUGGCAAUGUCUCAGUUUCAGAAAUAGUCCCAGGCCUACUUGCUGAACUUCGGUUUUAAAAUCCUCUCUCUCUAUUGAUCAUUAUUUUAUUCAUCAUCUAAAUUGUUGAAUGUAGACAUCUUUCAGGGUUGUAAUCAUAGCAUCUUUAUGAUUCCUUUAUCAUUCGUCUGAAAAUGAAUCCAAAAUAAUACGAUCUUGAAAAGCAGACCUUAAGGUAUGAAUGACCAUUUGUGGCACACAUAGUCUUUUAUGACUGGCUAAAAGAAAUGAAAAUACCUAAGAAACUUAUUCAUAAGAGAUGCUAAAAGAACUAGUAGGAGACUGUGAAUGCUCUGUAUGAACAUUUGAAUAAGCUUUGUCUGACUUUAACUUGUAAACUUUUGCUAGAUUAGAGAAUUAAAAACUCCUGAAACCAAGAUGUAUGAAAUGUCAUUAAAUCUAGCACAAAAUUUCUUGAAUAUGUCAGAUAAAGGAAAUCAUAUAUCCAGAGUGAAGAUGGAAUAUCAGUUGACAAGAAUCUACAUAGCACUUACUCUGAGGCAUAUGAAUCUAAAAAUCCAAUAAUGUCUUACCCUUUGAAAAUACUGGAAGUUGGAAAUGUAUUAGGAAAAUCGGUAAAAAUUUUCUUCCUACUAUUUGGAAUGAUUCCCACAUAAGAAUUCAAUACAAUACUUCUAGAAUAUUAAAGAGAUAUUAAAACAUCUCUACCUGUAGAAAACAAAAAUAUAAACUCACCUGACUUCUAAAGAGAGCAGUGGAAUAAAAUAGAUUGGGAAGAUUAAAAACAAGUCCUUUUGGCCCACCUUUUACCAAAACACUUUAAGCUAGGUAAAUGUUGAACUUCAGUUCAUCUAAAUUCCUCAGGUCUGUCAUCAGUUCUGUGACACAUUCUAAUGUUCUGAAUCAUUUGUGGUGAAUAAGCUCUCCCUUUUCUUCUUAUAGUGCUUAAAGUAACCAAUUUUGUGAGUUAUGAUUACUUAUUUUUAAAAAUUGAACUAUUGUUGUUUUCUCUUAGCAAAGUUGUCUAUCACCCAGUGAGUCCCAAGUGUAGAAAAGCCCUUGGCCAGUAACAUUGCCUACGCUUGGAGUUAGUUAAAAGGAAUGAGAGACUGACAACCCAGAUUCCGUUUUUAACCCAGCCAGAUACCUCAGCUGGCAAGCGGCUCAGCGCCCUCACCAUAAAAUGGGUAUAAUAAUAGCUUUCCUUACCACUGUGAAAUAUUUAGAAUGCAAUCAAGCCAAACCUGUCUCCUUCCAAAGAAAAGCUUAAACCACCCUGCAUAAUCCUGAAUGAGCCCAGAUUUUAAAGGGAAGCAUAAAAUGGGAAACACCUAGAGGUAGUAUAAUUUAGUGGUUAAAAAAAAUGUAGACUUUGGAAUAAUACAAACUUACAUGCUAGCAGCUGUGUGAUUUGAGACUAAAUUUUUUAAAUCCCCCCUCCUAAUAAAUUGUAAAUAACAGUAUUUUCUUAGUGAGGAUUAGAUGAUAUAGUGUACCAAUGCUUCUUAAACUCUUCCACUUGGAUUAUCCUCAAGAUAGUGAUCUGAGUGCCUGCUGAGACAUCGCCAGACACAGUGGACUUUUCAGUGAGGCCUCAUUUGUCGCUUUGAAAAUACAUACAAAUUUUGCUUUCUACUCUGUAGUAUAUUCUUAUGUUUCACCAAAUUGGAAAUUCUACAAGGACAAGACAGAAUCUAUUGUGUUUCUUCUAUAACAUCCAAGAAACAGUUAUUGGCUAGAAGAAUGAAUUACAAUAAGAAUUUAAGUUGCCCGCAAAGAAAACUGAUCCUCCAGGAAGUCAGGCAUGUCUUAGUAAUUCUGUAGCUUUGGGCACUCCAUGUUACACUCUCCAUACCCUAGGUAUACACAGAGUCAAACUGAAGAAGCUUUUACUUACCAAGAUGCCUGAAACCAUAUAAGGUACUCAGUAAAUUUUAGUAACUCUUUUUAUCAUUAUAAUUUCUCUGCUCCAUGCUUCUCUACCAUAGUAUAGGUAUGGAUCUAUGGACAAUUUAAAAAACAAAUUAUAAAAGGCUUCGAAGAUAGGCUCCUGAGAGGCAUUAAAGAAGCCCACGUGUCUCUGAGCACACAUGCUCACCCACUUAGAGCUCUAUUUCUUACAUGUCUUCCUUACUUCUGGCUUCAGCCUGUUGUGUUUUGUUAAAACUUCCUGAGGGCAAUGAGCAGUGAGAUUUAAAAAGGGGUUUUCUACUCUCCCUCAAGGUCAGGGGUAAGUAACCUGGGAUUCGUAAAUGAAUCUUCAUGGAGUCUGGGAAUUCCUUGAAACUUGGUAUUUUUGAGGAGUUUUUCUGAGGGAGGGAUUUGCAUAGGAAUCUGUUUUUCCUUUUUUUUUUUUUUUUUUCUGGUACCGGGAAUCAAACUCAGGACCUUGUGCUUGUGAGUCAGCCGCGGUGCCACUGAACUAAAUCCCCCGCCCCUUGCAUAGGAAUCUGUAUCACCUCCAAAUGUUGGAAACCACUGCUACAAAAAUUGUGUAAAUUGAAAGUAGAAGUAACUAAUCUUUAAAAUUACAAGUAGUAAUACUUUUAGUUCCUUGAAUACUGACAUUGUAUAACAAUUUCUACUUGGAAAUCAUGAGGCUUAGACUCCACUGUAAGUUACCUCUUUUGCUUAUCUCUUUGCAUAAGCCCCCACCAUUAUGUUUUAAUGCCCUGAAUUAUUUGGCCUUUAUAGUUUGAUAUUCUCUACUCUUUUACAUAUCUCUGUGUUGAUCCUAGCAUGCUUAUUGUGAAUGUUUUAUGGAAAGCUCUUUGAAUUUUAGAUAAAAAUAAUUUACAGACAUAUAAGGUGAAUAUCUUUGAAAUAGAAAGGGCAUAUAUCUAUAACAUAACAAUUUGAACUGAACAAAAGUAAAUCUCUGCAGAUUAAUACAUAUUCUUAAAUUUUAAACACGUAUUGUAAUGCAAUCAAGAAGUAGGAGUCUUUUGAUGUUAAUGAACAUUUAUGAAUUGUAUAAAUCUGUGAGAUUAAAUCUUAGUCUUAGUAUUAAAUUUGGGAUCAGUAUUAUUGGUUUGCAUUAAUAUAUAAGGACAAUUACAUUCAAACAAAUCUUCAAUUUAACUUGGUUUUAAAUUGUGUUAGACUGUGACAUAUACUGUGAUUUUUCUCUUCAUCUUGGAUUCCUGUCAUUGACAGCCUGUGUGUCAUUUGACAUCCGGAAAGAUCAUUUUUCAUUCCAUACCUUGUUUGUAUUAGUCAAUUUAGGUACACUUUACAUUGAUCUCUUUUGAUCACAUCAAAAUUAAUUUUGACUAAUUUCAUGAAUAAAAUGUCCAUUGAAAUUUAGAAAAAGUUACAUGUUUAGACAUAUGAAUAUAAAUACUAAGUAUAGUCAAAAGAGCAUAAUAUAUUACUGAAAGUUAUUGGAUUUAUAACAUGCCAUAGAAAAGUGGAAACUUAACAUAUGUUUUAGAAAAUUGCUAACCAUAUUUUUUUUUUCUCCUGAAAGGUUGAGAAAGAAAGCAACCUCAAAAAAGUGGUGGAGAGGGGGUUAGAGAGAAAAAAGAAAGAAAAAAAGGAGAGAAGGAAACAGGGGAAAAUUCCUUGACCAUCAGUUUGUCACCUGCCCCUUCUCUUUAUGUAAGUAAAAGUGGUUUAUUUACCUUUUAAAAAGUUAUGUCAGAUUUGGGGAAUUUUGGUCUUUAUUGACAUCUUUGCUAGCUGACUUGGCCUCUAGCAUUUGUUUGGUGUGUGUUAGCUUCUUUCGUGUUUGGAGUUGAGGCUGUUGGUAGUAGUGGUAUGUUACCAUCCAGGUGGGAGCUGAAAAGACCAGCAGCCCAAGCUCCUGUUCCUAUAUAGACUGCCCUGUACUUGGCCAUGUUGCUAAUUUCAAAGGUCACUGCUCUUCUAAACUGCGGCUUACGUUUUUCUAUCAGUUAUCAGCCAUGAGUUGGGCUAUCAGUGAGUGCACAAUUAUUUAUUCUGCAGUUACUCACCUAUCUAUAGAUCCAACAGUUUUUAAUUUUAACUCCUAGAUCAGAGAUGUCUUUUUACUAAGGAGUAUAAGACAGAAAAUUGAAUAGACUAAAUUUUUGUGCAAAAUUUUUAAAGUUGGGGGAGAUUAAAAGAAAUCUAGGAUUCAUAUGUGCCAAUAGGCAUAUAAAAGAUACCAUUGUAUUUUAGAAAAAAAUGAGAAGUUAUUUGGGAAAAAAACAUUUGAUUUUAAGUGAAAAAAUUUUUUAUUGUUGUUAUUAUUAAUAGAACCAAACCAGGCUAAACUGCUAGGGUUUGGGUUUGAAUAUAUAUUACUCUGAGUUUCUUGAAAGAGGUUCUGGGGCAGCAAAACCAAAAGAUCAAAGUCAGUACAAGAGACACUGCCCAAGAAAUCCUACAGUGAGUGACAGUCACCUGAUGUGAUAAAUAAUCAUCAGCAUCCUUCUGGCUGCAUCUCACCCUCUGAUGCAUAUUGUCCAUUAAAAAUUAUGUCUUAUUUCACUGACUCUUUACUCCAAAGUAUUUCAUGUGUUGUAAUCAUCUGUACAAAGAGGAGGUUAGCAUGGCUUUUUUCCUUAUGUGUAGCUUCCACUAAUAUUCUUAGGAGCUAAUAGCAAAUAUAUUUAGGGGACCUGAGUCCUCCAAAGGAUUUUAAGGCUAAAGUCUAGUUUGACAUUUUAUUUGACAGAGAAAGGCUGGUGCUAUAUGUAAUGCAUUCAUACAGCAGGGGUGGGUCCUACCUUCCCCUGACACGUCUUGUUAUUCCCUGUUCUUGAUGUUGAUAGAGUAGGUCUGUUAAGGCUUUGGAAGAUGUCAGUGUGCAUACUUAUUGUUACCACUUUAUUUAUUUACAUCCUUCUCCUCAGUUACCCAGCACUGCAUAUUUCUAGUCUUCUGACUGGCAAAUCAUUUUUUGUUACAGUUCUUUUGUGUAAAACCAGUUCACAUAAUAGCUCUGUGUUAGACAAGGCAUUAAUCCUCACAUCACCAGAAUGAGUCAGCACCAUGCACUCCUGCCUGCACAGCUCAGCUAUUAUGACGUCAGUGCUUGAGGGCAAGCUUCAGACACAAGCAGUAUGAGAGACCUGUGUCACCUAUUAAAAAUCGAGGAGGAGAACUUUGAGAUAAAAGAUAUAAUUGAAAGGCUGUGUCUGGCUCAUAGAAAAAUGUAAAAUUGAUUCUGUGCUGCAUCAACCAUCAGUCAAGCAGCUUCUUGAGAGAUGGAAUUUUUUUAACCAGAUAUAAGAGGAGGGCAAAGACCUAUGGUAACUUGAUAAUCCGUUCAUAUACUCAUGACCUUGUCCCACCCUGGGACAUAGUUCAUGCUUGCUUGAAUUUUUCCAAAUUCUGAGGUUGCUUUUAUGCCAGCAAGGUGACGGUCCUGCUGUCCUCAAAUGCCCUGUGGUUGUGGCUGAUGGCUUCAGGGAUUGAGCCUCAGAGGCCCAUCAGAAAAAAAGGAACCAUUUCUUGCAAACAGAUCAGAACAUUAUCUCACCAGUGCUUCUCACUCCAAGUGCCUCUUCAGUGGCCUUCUCUGGAUAGGUGCAGAAUUCAGCAGUUUUGACCUCCCUUAGGCACUACAUUUAGUCCAAUGUCCCAAUCUGCAUUUGACCCCAAUUUCAAUAGUAACUGAAUAGCUGCCAGAUUUUUCCCAAGAGUUUUCCUUUCAAUUAGUCUUUUACAGAAACAAACAAACAAAUAAAAAGGAAUCCACCAUAACCUACCGUGCUGUUUUGAAGCAGGUAGCAGAGAGUCAUCCUAUGUGGGAAACCCUGUUCUUAUAAGUUAGGCCUCUCCACAGUUCAGACUGAGACACAUCCUUUAGACAGUGCCUUUCAGUAUUGAAAACCACAUUGUAAAUGGUGAUAAUUUACUGCCUUAGUGAUAUUCUCUGCUUUAAAAAAAGACAUUCCGGGCUAGGGAUUUAGCUCAGUGGUUCUGCCACAUUCCCCACAAGCACAAGGACCUGAGUUCAAUCCCCGGUACCAAAAAAAAAAAAAAAAAAAGACAUUCCUCCAUCGCAGCAUCCAUGUCCCUGCCUUACUCUUACCCCAGCCAAUUAAUCACCAGCCUCUUUGAUAAUCAUCAGAAAAUGCCUUACUGCUGGGCUCUUCCACCUUCAUUAGAUUGAUAAUAGUCUCCUACCAUGCUUAUAAAAGCUAAUACUACUGUUUGGCUUAGUUUUGAUUCAUUAUGCAUAGAUCUUUAUUUUGUUUUCAGUUAACCAAUGUUUAUGGAAAACUUGUUACUAUACUAUGUUCUGGGAACUCCAAAAUAAAUAAGACAUGAUCCUUUUUAAAAAAUGUUACAGUAUAAUAGGGGAGAAAAAUAAGUGAAUAAAGACUAUCUUAUGUGAUAGGUGUAGGAGUGUAGGUACACCCAAGAUGUAUGAAGAAGAAUGAGAAAGGAGUGCCCGUCUGCAUGUGGGGAGGUGUCCAAGAUGAUUCUUAAAGUCAAAACAAUGAAUAUCAGUAUACCAGCUGGAUAGAGGAGAGGUAAAAGGAAGAGGAUUCAUAAUCAAGUAAAACAUGAGAACAUUUAUAAAGUCAAGAGGCAUCAAGUUAUAGCCAGGUCCAUAGGACUGAUUGGUUUUGUGUUGCUGGAGCUCAGUAAGUUGAUUAAAAGAGUAGCAUAAGAGAUGGAGGUGGGAAAGCAGGCAGGGGGAAGAUCACAAAAGGCCCUUGUAUACCAUGCAAAGGAGUCCGGACUUCCUUCUUCAGGCUCAAAGAGAUUUUAAAGAAUUUAAAGAAAAUUUACGUUUUGGAAAGAGCACUCUAUUGUUGAGAUGGCUGACUGAGAAUAGGGAAACCAGGUCAAAGGUGAAAACCAAGGGCCCCAACUGUUCAGUUAGGUCUGGAGUAGAACAGAGAGGCUAUUUGGGAGUAUUGACAUAGGCAUUAACAUUUGCAGAAUUCCAGCAUAUCUUGGCCCACUGCAUAAACCUGCCUUCUAGGAGAAAGGUUAAUAUGUUGAAUGAGGCCAAAUUUCAGACCAAAAUACAUCCUUAUGGGAGCUUCACGGGAGAAUCUCUCUCACCUUACUCUGAGCUGCUGGUCUCCAGGAUUGUGCGUAUCCUGCCCAAAGUAGGCAUGAGGCAAGAGGAAAGGGAGCAGAUAAGAAGAAAAUGUUGCUUUUCUUUCACCUGAAAAUCAAACCAUUUCCUAAUAAUGUCUCCUUAAAGUCAGUUAAUGCCCCAAUUUCCUAUUGUUUUCCCAUUGCUGCUUUUUCCAAGCAGAAUUUUCAAGCCAUUGAACUGAAUUGCAACUUAUGCACAGCCCGGGUGUUGAAAUAGUAAAGUAUAUUCAUCCCUUCUCUCUGAAUGAGAGUUCACCAUAAGUGUGCUUUUCUCUUGUUCACUUUGGGCUUCCAGGACAGUUUAAAGGAAAUGUUCAACAGCUUAUGUCUCACGUACCCUGUUCGCGAGACAAACGGGAAGAUUUGCGUGGGUGUGUUUAAGUCUUCUCUAUAUUGCUUCCUAGAGAAAGGUUUGAGAAGAUGAACAAGAUGGGGAGUAGGGACCUACUGAAAGCCCAGGUCUCUCAGUGACCUGAGUGCAGAACAUAGGCUGGUGAUCAGAUGGUCAAUUAUGUGUUUGUCAAAACACAGUGGGCUGCAUUCCAGAUUGCCAGCUUUGGAGGCCCAGUUUCUGCCAACCAAAUGUCAUCUGGGAACAUGCAACACUGGGCACUGUGAAGGAGUUUGAAAUAGACCACGCCACAGCCAACCUACUGCCACUCUUAUAGCACCAAUAUGGCAUGCACAGCCGGGCCCCAUGUUUCAGAGCUCAGGAAUUCACUGUACUAAAUUCAGGAGGUCAGAUGGGUUCAUGUUUUCAAAGCCUAUGUUCUCUGCUUUGAACACUGUGACUUGCUGCUCAACAAUUUCCAGGGGAUUUUUCCAGUCCCCUGUCUGUGGAAACCACUCUUUUUGUGAUGGUUAUGAGAGCCUUGUAAAUGUCCUGGAGGAAAAGGAAAAAAAUAAACUUGCUCUGACAAUGACUGUGAUUCCUACAAGGGAUUCCAACUCUUAGGAAAUUACAUUAAAGGUGCAUAGCUUUUAAAAUAUCAGGAACCACCUUGGCAACUUAUGAAAAGCAGAAGGGCUUUGCCUAUUUUAUAAAGUGAUUUGCAUAUACCUGCAUAAAUAAUGUCCCCACCUGUACUUUUAUGCAUUUAGGUUGAAUAAAUUAAAUUCAGUGAUCUUUAAAAUAUUCACUGUCUUUCAUUGCUAAGACUCCAUUUUCAGGACCCUUCUCUCUUUUUUUUUUUCUUGUAGUGGUAGUGGCUUAUUUUUUUUUCCCAGCUAAUUCAGAGAAUCAAAACACUGUGCAGACCAGUCUACCACAGCCAGGAGUAUCGUCUCCCGCUGCUUGAAUUUCCCUUAGUUUUCUAUCUAUCGAGCCAUGUCCCAUAUACUUUUCAAGCUAGAAAAUGGAGGAAUAUAUUACUAAGAUGAAAGCAUGGCACAAGAUAGGAUUAAGCUCUGCUACCUAUAUGUAUAUUCAGACUUUUCUUUCUUUGAGCACUGCCAUAGCCCCUUCAGAAACAAUCCAGCUACCUAUCCCAUAACAAUUUUAAGUCGGGCCUUCAAACCGAAGCCUGGCUCAGUAGGCCAGUCUCAGCCACAGUCAUUCCAUAAGAUAUUAUUAAGCACUUAUUAUGUACAAAGAAUCAUGUCUAGUGGAGAAUUAAAACAUAAAUACAGGAUAUUGACCUUAUUGUAAAUGAAUUUGAAAUUGAGUUAGAAAAGAAGUUAUACUGUGGAGUAUUUUGUAUGUUCAUAAGACGGUAAAUGUUGAAGUUGCACAAAGAAUGAUUUAGUCCAGGAGGAACUAUAAGAUUUCAUUCUUGAGAUCUUGAGAGCUAGAAAUUUACAUAUAAAUGUAAAAUGUGAUUCAAAUCGAUCUUUAAAAGUGGCUAGAAUGCAAAAAAGAUAUGGAGAAUGAUAUUUCAAACAAAAGCACUGGGAUCUUUGAGCAGGUCUAUAAGUAGCACUGUUCUUCUUCACCCAAAUUCUAAACCCACUGAAAAAUGAGACAAAAGAAUUGAUAGCUGGGGAAUCAAAAUUCUGUAAAUGUUGGUUGAAGAGUAUAGGAAAAUGGGCUCACUGACUCCCUUCCCUUCACCAUGAACUUUGAAAAACUUUCCUAAGGGAUAAUUUGGACCUUCAUAUAACCAAUACUUUUCCAGGUCAUAAUUCCCACUAGUCUAAGUAGUAAAGAAGGGAGAAUGAGGCUAAACUGUACUUACAAACUGAUAGAUCAAUUCUAUGUAAAUGAGAAAUAUGGACCACAGGCUGUUUUACCAACAAGAUGAUUUGUUUCUAUGGAGAAGUAUAAGGAAUGAGGCAAGAGGUAAACAGUGUUCAGAAAACUUGUUUGUGGAAACUCGGAAUAAGGAAGAUAUAGUCUUAACCAACAUGAAGAUCCACAAGCUGGAAAAUAGGAGCAAGUGAGAUGAACUAGAAGUGGGAUGAAAAUGCAGAACCAAGAGGCUAGAAAAUUUUUUCAUCUGUCUAAGGGGUACCCCUGGGACUAGAAUCAGCAGUCAUUGUGGUUAGCCAAGUGGUUAUACUGAGGACUGCUUUUGGGUGUCUCAAAGUUAUUAGCAACAGAACCUGGAGUAACAGGCAAACAUAAAUAAAUAAAUAAACCUAUUAGGAAAAGAAACACAAACACUUGUAUCUCUUAUUAAACUAAUAACAACAAUAGGACAUAAUGUGGACAUAACAUUUAUUGAAUACUUGCCUUGCUUUUGGUACUAGAUUAAAUACUUUUAAUGGCUAUCUGAUUUAAUUUAUAAAGCUAUAAUAUUAUGUAGAUGCUGUUAUAAUAGUUGUGCAGAUGAAGAAAUUGAGAUUUAGUAAUGUGAUUUUCUCCAGUAGUUCAGUGACCAACAUGAAAAGACAUAAGAAAUGUGUAUUUCAGUUCAAAUUAUGGUGGGGUUUCACCAGUGUUUGUAGACAGGAAUUGCAGUUUUAGUUUUUCUUUUUUGUUGUUUUUGUUUUUGUUUCCCAUCUUUGGUUCUAGCUGAGGCCAGUGUAGAAGGGCAGUGAAAAGGCUCAGCUAAAUUAUCCAAGCAUUUAUUGGGACCUACAUUGUGUGUGAUCCAGAAAAUACUUAGAUGAAUAAGGCACUAUCUCUGCCUUCAAAAAGCUCCCAAUCUAGGGUGGUCUGAAGGCUGCCAUCUGGCCCAAGAGACUAGGAGCAGUUGAUUAAUCUUUGCUAAAAGACAAGAGGACUCACAUCUCCCUUUUCUUUUUCUUUCUUUUUUUUUUUUUGCUGGCUCCUUCCCUUCCUCUACUCUCCCUACCCUUUCCAUUCCCAGUCAUUGUUUUUUUUCCUCAAAAAAUAUCUCUCUGCCUUGUUGCCAAGCCUCUAAUAAGCUUCAAGCAUAUAUGAAUGACAAGUCUGAUUUUUCUCACUAUCAUUUUGCUAAAAUUUGACCAUUUAGAAGCAAUUAGAUCAUCUACUUGAAGUGGUGUAUAGCAUGAAUUUUCUCUAAAUUUUCAGAGCUGGCAUCUAACUAUUCAAAAGGUUAUUUAAGAGGAAAUGAGAGAUGAAGGAUGGGUAGGUUGGAGAGAGAAAAAAAGGAAAGAAAGAAGGAAAGGAAGGAGGAGAAAAAUGUAGGAAAAGAAAGAAGGCUAAUUACAGAAGACUUUUAGGGAGUUCAAAAUGGAACUCUGAUUUGAAAUGAAUAAAUGAGUUUCUGUCUCUAGUGUUGAUCUAAACCAUCAGCUUCCAGAGUGGAAACCUGAAGCAACCAGAAUAUUAUAGAUUGAUGAAAUUCCAGCUGCUGGCAGAUUUUUUUUUAGUUUUUAAAAAAAAUCAUAUUAGUACAUAUGUGCAGUAUAUGAUGAUUACAUUCCUUACAUGGAGUUGAUACAUGUCCAUAACACGUUUUAAUUUUUUCACCCCCUUUCCUUUCUCUCCCUUUGUACUCCCUCCAUCUCUUGAUUCCGUUCCCAUUUAAGAAAGAUCUAUCUUCCUCCUUUCUAUUGUCAAUCUUUUAUUUUGCACUUUAUUUAUAUUUUAAGUAAAAACCAUAUGACACUUAAACUUGUGUGUCUACUUUAUUUAACUUAGCAUUAUCCAUUUCCCUACAAAUGACCUGUUUGUGCUUCCUUAUGGCAGAAUAGUGCUCCAUUGUGUGUAAAUGCUACAUUUUCUGUACCCAUUCAUCUGUUGAUGAACAUAUAGGCUGCUUCCAAGAUUUAGCUACUAUGGAUUGUGCUGCUAUAAAUAUGGAUAUGCAUGUAUCACUGUAACAUGCUGCUUUUUGGGGAAGACACCAAGAAGUAGAGUAGCUGGAUCAAAUGGAAUUUUUAGUUUUAGUUUUUUGAGGAAUCUCCAUACUGAUUUACAUGGUGAUUGCAAUAGUUUACAUUCUCACCAAAAAUGAAAAAAGGUUCCUUUUCCGCACAGCAUCACCAGCAUUUUUAUUAUUUGAUUUUUUGAUGAUGGCCAUACUUUCUGAAAUAAGAUUAUAUCUCAGUCUUGUUUUAAUUUGCAUUCCAGUAAUGGCCAGCAGUGAUGAACAUUUCCUAAUGUAUUUAUUGGCCAUUAGUAUGUCUUCUGAGAAGUGUCUAUUCAUUUCAGUUUCCCAUUUUUUCAUUGUGUCUUUUAUUUGGGAAGUGUAACUUUUUUUUGAGUUCUUUAUAUAUUCUAGAUAUUAAUCCUCUGUGUGAGGAAUAGCUGACAGUUUAAGAGAAUAUAUAAAGAGGAUGUGAAGGAGGUGAAAAAUCCUAAUUUCUGGUAGAAUCCUUUCCUGAGAUUUAUUCUGAGCAUUAUAAAAUGAUACUUUAAGAAGAAGUAAUAACAUAAUGCCUUUCCUUUAUUGAAGCACAUUCUAUUCUGCUAAAUUCCCUUUAGGAAAUAACAUUAGGACCAUUUGAAUCAAAAUUAAAUUGCAGAUACAUCUGGGGUAAAAUUUACCAGCUGUUGAGUGAAGGAGCUGUAUUUUUUAAUAUUUACUUCUUAUAUGAUUGUAUAAUUUAUAAUUAUUAUAAAAUGUUAAGAAAGCAGAGAGUAAGCAGAAAACAUCCAUAAUCCCAUUACAUUGAAACAACCAUUAUUAACAAAUUUUUAGAUCACCUUCAAGUGUCUUUGCUAGACUUUAACAUAAUUGUGCAUAUAUUUCAUACAUAAGGUUGUAUCUUAUUUUUAAUUCAGUAUUAUUUUUUAAAUUUUUUCCAUUAAGUUUAUUGGUACAUUUUAGGUAUAAAAUACAGUUACAUUCAUCAUUGGGAUCUUGUACCUUUACAUGAGUAUCUUGGUUCUUAUUUUUUUCUCCUUCCCCUGCCCUCCCUUCAACCCCUCUACCCUUCCCUAUUUGCAAAGACUGUUUCCCUUUUUUUCCUUUUCUCAUAUAUUUUCUUUUCCCUUCUUUCCUUUCCCCUACCCCUCCCACUUCCCCUACUCCUUUAGACCUUUUCUUCCUAUGACACAAUCUCAAUUAUACAUUUUUUAAAUUACAAUAUCAAGAUCUAGGAGACAUUACCACAUAUUUUAUAGAAUUUAAAAGGAUAUAGAAGGCAUAUUACAAAAAUCUUUUUUGAAAUAAAUUUGACAACUUCUAAGAAAUACCUUGGAAGACAAAUUAAUGAAACUAUGGAGGAAAUAUAAAAUUUGAAUAGCAACUAUUAAAGAAAGUAUAUUCCCAGCUUGAAAACCUACCUUUAUGACAACAGCAGACUCAUAUACAUUUUAACUGAUAAAUUAUAUCAAACAUUUAAAGCAGAAAAAAGAAGGAACACUUCUCCCCUCAUUUUAGGAAAUCAACGUUGUACUAAUACUAAAACUGGAUAAAGAUAAUAGAAGAAAAAAAGUAUGAACAUACAUAAAAAUUUGUUUAACAAAACAAACUAUUAGCAGUCAGAUUUGGCAGUAUGUAGAAAGUGGUUUUGUUAUAGGGAUGGCAGUGUUGGUUCAGCAUUGGAAGAUCCACCCCCAAAAGUCAUCAUUUUAACAGAGGACAGGAAAAAGCCAUAUGAUCCUGUCAGUAUUUGGAAAAAAAGUAUUGGAUUAAAUUCUACAGCUGUUCAUGGUAAAAACUAUCAGGAGACUAGAAGUAGAACAGUACCUUCUCAACAGAUCAAAGACAUGUACUCCAUACUUCCAGCAAAAACGCCUUAUAUAAAUGGAGAAGAUACAAUGCUUUCUCCCUAAGGUGAGGAACAAGGGAAGAUAGGCCUAUUCUUCAUCUGUCCAUUAAACUUUGAAACAUAGGCCCAAACCAAAAUAGUCUGGCAGGGCCGGGGAUUUAGCUCAGUGGUUCCGCUGCCUGCCUCGCAAGGGGAAGGACCCAAGUUCAAUCCCCGGUACCAAAAAAAAAAAAAAGGGAACUGAAGCUCAGGCCAGGGAUUUAGCUCAGUGGUUCUGGCGCCUGCCUUGCAAGGGGAAGGACCCAAGUUCAAUCCCUGGUACAAAAAAAAAAAAAAAAAAAAUCAUCUGGCAAUAAAAUGAAACAAUUAGGAUAGGAUUGGCAAGGUAGAAGUAAAAUCUUUAUAUUCUUUAUAUGUAGAUGAAAUGAUCAUCUACAGAGAAAAUGCUAAGAAAUCUCUAGGAGCCCCUAGAACUUGUAUUUGAAUUUAGCAGGAUUAGAAAACACAGGGUAUAUAUAAAAGUUCAGGUCUAUGUAUACUUGCUAUAAAUGAAGAAUUGGAUAUUGAAAUUUAAAAGUUAUGUAGAAGUACACAGGACCUAGAAAAGUAAAAAGAAAAAAAAAAACAGUGUUUGAAGACAUUUAGUACCUAAUUUUAAGACUUCCUCUAAAGCUACAGUAAUCAAGUCAGUGUUGGUGUAAGGAAAGACAUAUAGAUCAUUGGAAUAAAACAGAGAAUCUAGAAAUAGAACCACACAUAUAUGGUCCACUGAGUUUUGAAAGAUUAUUUAACAUUAAUGUUUUAUAGAACAUAAACUCAAUUCAAGAGCAGAGGAAAAGAUAGUGUUUUCAGCAAAUGACACUAGAAUACCUGGUAUCCGUAUAUAAAAAAUUAACCUCAACCCUUUAUUUCCAUACAUAAAAAUAUCUUGAAAGGAUCUAUGAACUUAAAUAUGAGAGAUUAAAAAAAAGAAAUUAUCAGGGAAAAUGUUUAUGAAUUUAGGGUAGGCAAGAAUUUCCUAGGAUAGAAAAAACAGGAUGUAUAAAGGAAAAAAAUUGAUAAAUGAGAUUCCAUUAAAAUUUAGAACUUUAAAUGACAUCAUUAAGAAAAUGAAAAGUAAUCCUUAAACAGACCAUAUUUACAAUGCAUAUAACCUAUGACCAGAAUAUGUAAAGAACACUUGCACCUCAUUAAUAGACAACUCAAUUGAAAAGUAGACACAAGAAGAUGAUAAAUAGCCAGUAUAGCACAGGGAAAGGUGUGCAACACUAGAAUCAGAAAAAUACUAAUCAGUACAAUAACAAGAUUGAAUUAUACACUCAUUAGGGAGAUGAAGUUAAAAGUUUUAAAAGAACAAAUGUCAGCUUAGGUAUGAACCAAUUAGAACUUUCUAAUACUGCUAAUGUGAAUGUAAAAUGAUAAAACCAUUUUGGAAAAUAAUAUAGAAAUUUCUUGUAUUACUGUUAAGAACCAACAGUUCUGUUCUUAAGUUUUUACUUGAGAGAAAUGAAAACACAUGUUCACAAUAGAUUUGUAUAUACAAGUUGACUAUCCCUUAUCUGAAAUUCUUGGGACCAGAGUGUUUCAGAUUUUCAUUUGAAAUCCACUUGAUCUACAAAGAGGAUAGCUACUUCUGCUUUUUUUUUUUAUUCCUGUCACGUGGAGUAUUGUUUUCUACCCUUUUACUUUCAGUCUGUGAGUUUCUUUUUGAAUUAAAUGUGUUUCUUGUAUGCAGCAUAUUGUUGGAUCUUGCUUCUUGACCCAUUCUGCCAGUCUAUAUCUUUUGAUUGGUGAAUUGAGACCAUUAACAUUGAUGGUUAUAACUGAUAUGUAUUGACUUAUCAUUGUCAUGACUUUUUCUAUUUGUUGGAUUCUCUCCUUUUACAUUUAAUUUCUUGUCGUGCCCAACAGAUUCAUUCUGCUGGGCCUCCUGGGGUUGUGAUCCUCAUUGUCUUUUCCUAGGAUAUUGACUAGAAUUUUUUUUGGAGUGCUGGUUUGGUAUUCAUGAAGUUCCUAAGGUGCUCUUUGUCAUGAAAUUAUCUUAUUUCUCCAUUAAUUUUGAAAGAUAGUUUUGCAGAGUACAUCAAUCUAGGUUGGAGGUUGUUUUCCUUUAGGGCUUGAAAUAUAUCAAUCCGAACUCUUCUUGCCUUGUGGGUUUACAUUGAGAAGUCUGCUGUGAUUCUGAUGGGCUUUCCUUUGUAUGUGAUUUGUUUCUUUUCUCUCACUGCUUGUAGAACUUUGUUCUUCUGUUGAGUUUCUGGAAUCUUAACAACCAUAUGCCUAUGUGUAGAUUUUUUUUGAUCAUGGCUCCUUAGAGUCCUAUAUGCCUCACUUAUCUGUAUGUCAAGUUCUUUUCCCCUCCUUGGGAAGUUUUCUGCCAUCACUUCUGUGAACAGUUUUUUUUUUAUGUCAUCUGUACUCUCUUUUCUUUCUUCAUUGACUCCAAUCAGUCUUGUGUUAUUCUUCUUUGCAUCAUCUAGCAGCUGCUAGAUUGAUUUCUCAUCGUCCCUUACAAUUUUAAAGAAAUUUUUCUUUUCCUGGUCACUAAUAGCAAUCUUCUAUAUCUGAAAUUCUGUCCUCACAUUGGCUCAUUCUGCUGCGUAGACUUUCAGUGGAGUUUUUAAUCUCCUGGAAAUCUGUUUGUAUCUGUUUUAUGGAUUGUGUUUGUUUCCUAUGUUGGGAUUCUAUCAUGUUCCUCAGCUCCUCUAUUUUUUUAUCUGUGCCCUCUCUAGAUUUAUUAAUCAUGUCUUUCACUAAGGGCACAAUCUCUGCUGUUAUCUGAGAAAUUAUUUCUGAUUUCAUUUUUUCCAGAUCCUCUUUUGUUGUCAGUUCAGGGAGUCCAGGGGGUUGAGUAUCAGAUUGUUCCAUCUUGUUUCCCUUUGGGGUUGUUUUAGUUGAUCUGUAAGUCUGGUUUUGAAACUUGUUUAUGUAUCUUCUCAUUUCAACCAGGGGUGGGGAGGCUGGGGGGGGGGUGUUGCUGGUACCCAUGUGGCUCACCUCCUCUGUGCUGGUGGGGGUGGUACGGUGGCCCAGAAGCUUCGUCCUAUGCACUGGGAAUGGCUCUAAAUUCAAUAUUACAAUAAAUACCACCUGGUGCAACUACAAAAUCUUUAUCAAUAUCACAAUAAUAUCUUAAUAUUCUAUCAUAUAAAACUCCAAGAAUUUAUAUAAUUAUCCCUGCUAAUAAGUUACUUCUACUAUUUAAGCUUUUAUAUAUCUUUAAAUAUGCUCAUUUCAGCAGCACAUAUACUAAAACUCCUUAAAGUAAGAACUAUGAUACAGCAGAUCAAAUUGUUAAUUUUAAGGAAAUUUUAAAUAGGCAAUAAUUUCACUCUCCAAGAAACUGCUUUUAAGACAGCUACUAAUUACUAAUGGCUAUGAAAAUCAUAUUAGAAUCUCUAAGUAGUUUUUGCAGGGUUUAUUUUGGAGUUGCCUCAAAAUAAAAGUUCUAAAAUUUAAUUCUAAAGUGUGUAUAUUUAGUUUUGCUUGAGCUUGUUAAAACAAUGGUGUAUAUAUAAGGAACAAAGCAAAAUUAUUUCAGUUUCCUAGCCUAGAAGUAAGCACUGUAAACACUUGGGAAAUAUAUUUUCAUAUGUAUCUAUUUAUCUGUCUCUUUUUCUUUCUUAUUCUUAGUCUUUCUCUUUCCAAAGUGAAAGAAAAGGAAUCUUACUGUUUUGUAAUCUGCUGUUUUUAUUUAACAUUAUAAUAGUUAUAUUUUCAUAUUAAAAAUAUAGAUCUACAAUAUCUUGACAGCAAGAUUUUACUCCAGUGUAUGGAUAAUAUAUUGAUUUAAUCAUUUAUUGAUGGACACUUGAGAGGCUUAGAAGCUUUUUCUUACUAAAUAAUGCUACAGUUACUGUCUUUACACAUAAGCAUGCAUGCAUUUUCUUAAAUGUAUUUAUCUGAUUAUUUCCUUAGGAUAAGUCUAAAGCAGUGGAACUACCACGGUAAUAUGUAUACAUUAAUAAACUGUCUUCCAGUAAAGUUGUGUCAAUUUAUACUUGCACCAACAAACAAAAAAAAUACUGCCCAAUUUUUCUGCAUUUUCACUAAUUCUCAAAUAUAACUUUUGUCAUAUAAAUGAGUAUUUUCAUGUUGGGAGUAUGAGAUGUAUUUUCCAGGCAUAAAACUAAAAUGUGAAAUUUAAAGAACAAUAUAUUAAAUUUUAUUAUGUGAAAAUAAAUAUUGCUAUGGCAGAAAAAUAUUUUUAAACUGGAAAAAAUAUUUUUGACAUAUCUCAUAUCUUGAGUGGUUAUUAAAUCAGUAAUUAAAAUGUUUACUAGUAUUUUCUAGAUUUGUCACCUUCCAUUAUUUAUUAAAUGUUUAUUAUUUUAAAGAAAUUAUUUUAAUUACUUAUAUUACCUUCAAUCAUUUUAUUAAUUUAAAAAUUUUUAAGACUUUAAUAAAAUCUUUGGAAAGGACACUCGCACUUGCACAGACUAACAAAUAUUUGGUUGAUUAAUCUCAUUCUUUGUUGCAAAGAUUUUGCUACCUGAAGUCCUUUAAACUGUGCUUCUUAUGCUCCAAUGGCCACAUUCACCCUCACAGCGCUCCCUGGAGAGUGUUGUGUGUAGUAAACCACCAGUCAGGGGACCUAUGGAGUUUUUGAGCAGGAGCUUAGUACUUUCUGCUUGCAUACACUUAAUGUUGAUCUGGCAUCACCAUCCUCCAAAGCGUCAGGUAAAUUGCUCACUCACAUAAAUGUAAGAAUGCCCAUCCUGAGCUCUGCCAUCAGACCUCAGCUUCAGUAAAUUAUCAGGGAGGGAAAACACGCACACUGGUAACAUUGCCCAAUACAUGUCUCCAGGGCAGGAUUGACGCUAUCCUUCUACCAGAAGUAGAUAGAGAUUUUUGGACGUUCUCAUAAAUAAAAUGCUAGAGGCUAUGUCAACAAUGUCCUUCACUUUUCCCCCUCUUUCUGUGACUCCCAUGUGUAUUACUACAUACUUAAUGAAAUGAAAUAUUUUUCAGCAACUUCAGGGAAAGUGAAAGACGCUAGAGAAGCAGAAAUGCCAGGCUGACAGCAUCACGCUAGCAUCCACAGUACAAACUGUAAUAGAGUGUCUUCCUUUUGCUUUAGGACAGGGAGCAUCUGGGUUCUCAGACUUCUUUCAUUUUUCUCAAAGGUGCAGAAGUUGUAUAAGGCUGUUCUCAGUUUGUUGUGGUGGUUUAAAUCUAAAAUGUCCUGGAUGCUUCUUGUACUCAUAGGUGGUUUUUUAAGGUUAUUGGCUUAUGGUGGCUUAUAGCUGACUUGCUGUUAGGAGAGUGUGCUGGGAAGAGGGGGUCAUUGGGGUGUGCCCUGGAAGGACAGAUCUCCCUCCCCACCUUCUCCUAUACACUUUCUCCUUCCUGUUCACCACACCAUGAGCAGCUCUCCUCUUCCAUGCCCCUCUGCCAUGCAGUUCUGUCUUAGAGCCAGCCAACUAUGGACUGAAACCUCUGCAAACAGAGAGCUAAAAUAAGCCUUUCCUCCUUUAAGUUGCAGGUGUCAGUUAUUUUGUUGUACUGAUGAGGAAAGUGAUUAAGACAGUAGUAGUUGGAGCAUUCCUUAGCACAAGAAGUUCAGUUGCAGAUGAUAAAUGAUGGCAUGUGCUCCAGGGUAUUCUUACCCCUUUUGGCAGAAAAUUAUGUAUGUGAAAGUACUAUGUGUCUUAAGUCCAUAAGCAGUGUCCACAAAGGAAGCAGAACCAGAAGAGAGAUGAACAUAUGAAAAUUUUGUGGCAGUUCCUGGAGGCCAACCUAAAGCUGAGGAUGGGAGUGACCAAACCAAGCCUAGUAAAUGGCUUGUUACUUACCUGAGCAGUCAAACCCCGGAGGUGUGAGCAUAUUGUCAUGAGCAUGCCUACAUGCUGUGAGUGGCACUGUUAGAGACCAGGAGGCUGGCUCUGGAGACUGAAUGUCCCACUUUCUUAACCCCCACAGAAAACUUUACAUAUUAUACACCUGUUCUGUAACAUAGCUUGUAUUCAGAGGCAAAUAGAACACAGAAAUGAUGACUAACAUUGUUACUAAUAUCAUGAGUGUUCCUUAUGUAUAUUUUUUCAUCCUUUUCUUUUCUUUCCCAUACAUGGCUGUCUGUUCAAAGCUGCAGUUGAGUGUGUAUAUGUGUGUGCAGGUAUAUAUAAGAUAUAUAACUCAUACAUAAACAGCUUACUUAGUCAUGCCGCUAAGAUGCUUGCAGAGGCAAGUUGUACAAGAAGACUUUGUAGUGAUAAAAUUAAGAUCUUAGGUCCAUUUAGUUAUUUAAUACACUCUCUGUCAUCUUUGUUAUUUCUUAUUCCUUCCAAUACAGAGAAUUGAAUACAAAUUAGGCACUGGACAUAUCUACCUACCCUUAUGCAAAAUAAUUCUUUUUAGAUAUUUAUUUUGAACAAGCCUCCCUGCUUAUUACAGUAUGGAAGGCUAAAAUGGGUUCUACCUUUAGUUUACUCUUCAUAUAUUUCUACACUUUUGGGCACGUGAAGAAAAAUUAUCAACUCUAAUUUAAAAUUGACCCAUAUUUUAGACAAGAAAAGUAUGUGUCUCAUGAUAGUGUAUGAGUGAAACAUAUGGCAGAUCCUUUAAUGGUGUCCUUGAGUCCAGUCCUUACCAGCCUGAUCAAUGGUACAUAAAGAAAGGUAAUGGGAAAUCUCCAGUCUAAAUAAUUCUGGGAGAUUUUUUUCCCUGCUUUUACCUAUCACUACCAUGCUUGAAUAAUGUCCAAUACAUUAGUUCUUCACCCAUAGCAUCCAUAGUCCUCUAGUGCUUUCACUGAAAUUAAAAUCUUAACACUACUUACCUUUUGCAAUUUGCAUAAAGUCUGUUGAUUGGUUGUCUGUACACUGUCCACCUAUUUACAAUGAACCAGGGUAUUCCUAGCAAUCAUUAACAUUAUUGCAUUUGUCAUCUUUCCUGUCACUGGACACAGUACCUAACACCCACAGCUUAAAGGAGGAAAAGUUUAAUUUAGUUCACACUUUGAGGAAAUUCAGUCCAUAGCCAUAUGGCUGCAUGGCAAGAAUAUCAUGUCAGAAGGGCAUGGCAAAGCAAUGCUGCUUAGUUCAUGGCAGCAAGGGACCAGAGCAGGGGAACAGUGACAAAGAGGAAUGGGCAGGGGACUGCAUGUAGUAAAAAAGUCCAUGCCUCCGUGACCAACACAUAUACACCCCAGAAACAUGCUCUACUAAUCUGCCAGGUGUUUCUUAAUCCAGUGAAGUUGAUAUAUUAGGAUUAACAGUCAGUUUGUCACUUGUCAACUUCACAAACAAACACACCACCCUAAACCACACUUAUUCUCCAAAUAAAUACAAUAGCGAGUUCAUAAUUCUACCUAAAAUAAUACAACUAUCCUGUGUACAGCCAGAAACACAAUAAUUCCCUUGCCAAAGUCUCAACAGUUCCAGCAUUUUUCAGAAGUCCAAGUCCAAGUCUCUUCUGGGACUCAAGGCAAACUCUUAACUGUGACCUCUGUAAAAAUAAAAAACAAGUUACAUAAUCCCAAGAUAUAAUGGCACAGGGUAAACAUUUUCAUUCCAAAGGGGAGAAGUAAGGGGAUAGAAAAAAAUCAGACCAAAACUAGACUAAAACCCAGCAGGGCAAACAUUAAAUCCUGUAGCUCCAUGUCCAGAAUCCAGGAAUAUAGUGGUAAAAUAUGAGUUUUAAAGGGCUUAGGUAGCUCCACUCCUAUGCCCUUGCUGGUUGCAGCCCCUGAGGUUUCUCUCUUGGGCUUUCCUUGGCUCAUGUUCUACAUUCUGGCAUCUCUGACGAUCUCUAGUUUCCUCUAAACCUUUGGCUUCAUUCACGUAGCUUCAUGCAUUGCCCUCUCAGAGGCUCCUUGCUUGGCCUCCAGGCUUUCCUUUGCAAUCUGAGUGGCAGCUUCCUUAAUCCCACAACUCUUACAUUCUCCAUGCCAGUAAAGCCACCAUCACAUGGAAAAUCAAAAAUCUGCUAUCAGCAGAAGCAAUAGCCAGGCCCCCUUGGAUCGUGGCUGCAGCAGCCUCAGAGUGCCUGUAUGGCUGAGUGCAGUGAAAUGAAUCUCAGGGAAUCACUACCUUAGGAGGCCUUUCUCAGACAGGGAUCCCAGGGACUCUCCUAUCAAAUAAAAGACUGAUAUUUUUACAUGCUUGAGCCUGCUAUGGUGAGUUCUUCUGAUUCUUGAGAUGUCCUCAAGGUGUCUUUCCUCUUGUCCUUGUACAGAGUACUUAGUUUCUUUUUAAUAGUGAUAAUCUCUUUAGCAGCCACAUCUCCUUUGGCCCAAAUGUACAUCUGUUUCCUUAUGGGCCAAAUUUUACAUUUUUACAUAUUUUCUGCUGUGCCUUUUGCCCCCAGUUCUCACUACAAAUCUGGCUAAAAGCAGUCAGUGGUAAUCAAACCUCAGCCUAUAUUGGGUGUCCUAAAAUUUACUCUGCCAGAUUAAUUAGUCCACCACUCUUUAUCUCAGCCUUCUGCAAAGUCUCAAGACAUAGGCAUAUAUUCUGCCAGAGGGUAACACACAUGUGCUCUAGUCCAGCUGCCAAUGAAGUUCUUGUUCCAUUGAGACCUCCUGAGCCUCACCUUUACUGACUUCAUGCUGUGAGCAUCCUGGUCAUCUGAGCUCCAACCAAAGUCACCCAUUAAUCACCCCUAGCAGUCUAAGGUUUCUCUAGCCCACUUCUCCAAAUCUUUCCAAACUCCUUGUGUAAACCAAUCUCAAAGGCUUCCAAGCCACAUGGUCAAGUACAAUCAUGAAAACAACCAUGUUCCAAUUUCUGAAUUAGUCAAUUUUUCCGUCUCUGGGUACAAUACCCGACAUCCACAACUUGAAGAAAGAAAAGUUUAAUUUAGCUCAUGGUUUGGAGAGUUCAGUCCAUAGUUAGCUAGCUCCAAGGCAGGACUAUUAUGGCAAAGCUGCUCAGUUCAUCACAGUUGGGGAACAUACCAGGGAAUCAGCACCAGGGAGAAAUAGGCAAGGGACAAUAUAUAUAGUAUCCAAGGCCAAUACCUCUGUGACCCACCUAGACACACCCAGGAACACACUUUACUAAUAUUCUAAGUGUUUUUUAAUCCAAUGAAGUUGACAUGUCAGAAGUAACAGUCACAGUUACUCAUCUAGAAUAAGUUCCAAGGCCGGCCACUUUGUGGCAAGCUAUAUGUUUACCACUACAUCCCAUAUGUCUAAUGUACAUGGGAAAGAGUUUCAGGCAUGUAGGCUUAUAUCCAGAAAACUACAUCAAAUAUCUGAAUUCUAGUGCAGGAAUCCAAGAGAAAUAUUAUUGGACACUACUAUUUGGAGCCUUUCUCUUUAUCCAGGUAACAAAGAACAACAGCCAAAACACUUUGAAAAAUCUCUUUCAGUACACUUUAAUGUUUGAUUCUGGCUUAUUCCUUCUUAGAAAAUGGAAAGGUAAGGCUACAUUGAAGUUCCAGAUCAUGCUUUUGCCUAAUGUCUUAGUUUGUUUGUGCUACUAUAACAAAAGAUCUGCAAGUAAGUAAUUUAUAAGCAGAAAUUUCUUUUUCACAGUUCUGAAGGCUAGAAAGUCCAAGAUCUAGGCUUUGGAAGAACUGGUGUAUGAUAUAGGCUUCUCUACUGCCAGGGUGAUGCCUGUUGUUGGAAAAUGCUGUAUCCUCAUGUAGCAGAGGAUGAAUGGCAAAAGGGAGGGAGAUAGCUCCCUCACACCUCUUUUAUAAGGUUGCUAAUGGAUUCAUGAGAUUUUACUUUCAUGAUUAAUCAGGCUUCUGCCUCUUAAUCUUCUCACAUUGGCUACUAAAUUUUAGUAUAUGAAUUUUGGGGACACACUCAGACUAUAGCACCUUGUAAGAAAUGAAUGUAUAAUUUUUCAUUAUUUUGUUAAAAUAAUCUUUCAUUAAGUUCAACAUUUCUCAUUUUUAUUCAGGUAAGGACUGACAGAGAGAUUCGUUAGAUAAAAGAAUUCUGUAGAGGUAAUCCCCCAAAUGGAUACAGACUGCAAAACAGGAAAAGAUGCAGAUAGAGGCCAAACAUACAGCUGAGAACUGUGUGCACCUUAGCUGCAAGAGCCACCCUGGAAUCAGUUAGGCCUUAGUUAAAAUGAAAAAAAAAACAUGCACUCUAGAUAUUCAUCCAUUUUUAAAAUUGUGUAGAGUUUUAAUUUCUUCUGAUCUCUGAGAAAAAUUAUUGUUGUAAAAGUAACUUGGUAUAUGAAGAUAAUUUCCCUACAUCAUAGUCAGAUCAUUACAUGAGAACAGUAUAUACCUUGGCAGACCACAUUGACUUGAAGACCACCUGAGAAAUAGGGAAAAUAAACUGAAUGAUGCAAGAAGUCGAAAAUUAGGACCACUGUGUAUAUGAGACUUUGUUGUCUUCCAAAAGCUACCCAAAGUUAGUCGUAUUUUUUCUUUCUCAACAAAGAGCAUUAGUAAACUUAAAGAUCAAAGCUUCUCUUAAGAGUAUCCAUUCCUAGGUCAUCUACCAUGAACUUUGUCAGUGGUCCAGGACUUCAGAGGACUUCUGUACAUGAACAUACAUGUGGAUGGAUAGGAACACACAUACACAAUCUAUUGAUAGGGGCUUUUCUCCUGCCUAUUAGAUCCAUUACAAAUGUGUUUCUAAUGGGGCCUCUCUGCAUUCCAAUAGAAAUAUUUCUGGAGCUCUCCUGGCUCUCACAACAUUUGCUGGGAGCACAUUUAAUAUGUUUUAGCUUUACUGCCUGAAGAUGGAAUCAGGGACAUCUACCUGCACAUGACAGUGCUUUGGCUCUUGCAGUUGCAGAACUUAAUGUAUGUAUCAGUAAUGAAAAUCUUAAUUAAGAAAGCAGCAUCAUUGUCCACGAAUACUCAUUUUUCUCCCCCUGCAAAGUCCUUUGUGAAUUGCAGUAUAUACCUGGUCCAGACAGACAGAGCCCUUGAAGAGCUUGUCUGGCAGAUCUUCUCUUGAUUAUUAACAGCUAGCAAAUGACAAAGUCUCGCUCUCCUUUUGUCUUGAAGCUGAGGCUUGGAACAGCAGAGCACACAAUGUACUAUGGGGGUUGUUUGUGUUUUUUUUAACUUGCCUUUAUUACAUUGGUGGGCUUAAAAAUCUGACAGUGUUGAUCAAAACUAAUGUAGGUAACUUAAAUUUGCCAAAACACUAGCAAAUGCGUAUUUACACAUAUACUCUCAAAUGGCAAUGUAAUUUUCCAUAUAGAAACAGUGUACAAACAUAAGAAGUCACAGUUUUAAGCUAUCUGCCCCUGUUUCUGGUACCUUUAGCCUCUACAGUUUGAAGACUACAAUAUCCCUGUUUUGGUGACCUUAGCCGUUAGUUCUUUCCCUGUACCAAUGUAUGUGUGCCAAUUUGUCGUCUUGCACAAAGAGUAAGAAGCUUUGAAUGAUGAAAUAACUUUUUACAACUAACUGUAUGCGUAAAAAUUGAGACUUGUUAAGAAAGUCUUUUGAAAAGUGACCUAUAAUUAUGUUUAUGAAAUAAUUCCUAAUUGUAAAUUUUAAUAAUGCCCAAUAGUAAUAUUUUAAAUAAAAAUUCCUUUAAAAGCCUCAGAGCAUUUUUUUUAUAAAGUAGCAAUUCCUGCUACUAAUUCUUUUAUAACUUUGAACCAAAACCUACCUAUAGAAAAGAAAAACUCAUAGUCUCAUUGUCUUAGUUACUUUCUUCUUUGCUGAGACAAAAUAUGUGACAUCCCAAGUUAAAGGUUUAUUGUAGCUCACAGUUUGUAAAUGUUUCCAUUCAUAGUCGGCUAUCUCCAAUGCAGGGUGGAUGGCAGAAGGGCAUCUCAGAGGAGAAACAAUUCAUGGCAAGCAGAAGGCAGCAAGCUGCAAAGUAGCAAAGCAGCAAGCAACAAGCCACCACAGCAACCCUCAUUCUGUCUCUUAUAUUAUAUCUGGGCUACACGCCCUUAGGGUGGGUAGCACUCACAGGCAGGUUGGGCUUCCCCAUCAUCCACGCCCAGAACUAUGCCAAACCAAUCAGUGGACUAAUUUAGUAAUCACACACCCUUAAUUCCAGUAUCACACACCUAUAUCCAGCCACCUCCGAAAAGCCCCACCUAUGAUUUCUCUGAACGCAUGAGGCUUUGGGGAGACAUCUAGACAAAAGCCACAACACUCGCCUACUUAUGUCCCAUUCUGUCUUCUACAUUUUGUAAGUUUUUAGUCUGUAAUGUUAACCAUUUUCUGAAAGAUCCAUGUAAAUAACUGAAUCAGGUUCCAGCCAUAGAGUUAUAUAAUGCUUUGUACUGGAGUAGGACACACCCACUUAAGGAUGAUCUGUACUGAAUAUUUAGGACUCCUCUUCUUCAUGCUGUACAUGCACUGUCCGCCCCAAGGAGUGGGGUGGGGAGGAGCAGCCACACUGCCCUGAAUGUUUAAACUUUGGUUAAAUCAUUUACUUUGUGCCUCUGGAACACACACACACAUAAACAGUACUAUCAUGCUUUUUAUUCACUUUGCUCCUUAAAAUUGUACAUGUUUUAGCUUAUUUAUUUUCAGUAUUCCUACAAAACAGGCAAUGAUCAGUUUCCCAUGUUUCUGGAUCAAGAGAAAAUUCAUGUAAAUAUUCUAUUCUCUGUGCAUUAUGAAAGAUAGGAAAGCCUCAUUAUCAAAAAUUGUUUUCAAAUAGUUUGACUUAUUAAAAUCUCAUGGCUGCAUUUAUAACAUGUUUGAUUAAGGUUACAACAUGAAAAAUAAAUAAAAAUAGACUGAAGAUUGUAUAGCAGAAGCACAAUAAGAUGGAGAAAACAGAUAUUGUCAGCGAUUUUGGUUGCUACACAGGAAAACUAUGAGUAGGUUCUUUUACUGUGAAUAAUUUUUUUUUCAAGAAUACAUCUGACUGAUAAUGCUAUACAACCUAAAACAAUUGUGCAGUACUGGGGUUAGAAGUGUGUUGCAAAUUUAUAGCAUAAGAUAUAUAGUAAAAACAUUCAAUAAAUGUUUGAAUAAAACAAAUUCUGAAUGAAUAACAAAGAAUAAAUUAUGUUAGCAUUUCAAAAACAAAACCAAACGAUCUAAUAUUAUUCUUAAUUUUCAGAUUUUUAACUUGGUUAAAAGUUAGAAGUCUUCUGAAUUUUUAUAUGUUGAAUUUCAACUUCUGAAAUAAUAAACAUUCAUACAAUAAUGAAAAAUCUGAAUAUUUAAAAUUUAGGUAUAUAGUUACUUUUGCCUCUGCAACACCUACACACAGCCACAUAUGUAUGUAAAUGAAUACUAGAUCACAGUGGAAAGCAUAUUCCUACUAUGACCAUGAGUAAAACUGUUUGACAAAAACUAUUGCUCACAAUAAGAUCUUCUCACAUUAAACAUAGCUACAGUUUGCUUAAAACUGAAUGACUACAUGAUUAAAAAUGACAGGUCUUCCAAUAGCCUGCCCUCAUGCCAUCUCUCUGCUGAUAACUCAGUGUGUUUUCUAGUCGUUUCUAUGCUUAAAAUAUCAUGUUGUAUAAACUGUGGCCCAGUCCACAAGCUAAGGAAUCAAAUAGGCUAGGGCAAAGAAGUGUCUUGCAACUUUAGGGAAAGGUUUCUAGAAAACAUAUUAGCUUAACUAUAAGGAUGCUCUUCAGUUCAGACCUGGCCACCCUUUGCUCUCACAUGGAAAUACAUCCACUUGCAGUGUUGUAAGUGAUCUUUUCAGCAAAUGUGUGCAUUGGUGAUCCUCCAGAGCAUCAGAGUUAUGAGUGCUUAAUAAGACAUUCAUAAAGCAACCUGCAGCUUGUUAUAUUUAAAUGCCAAUGACUUCCUUAUUUCAAAAGCAAGUGCCUUUAAACAUAGUAAUAACAUUUCUCUAUAUGCAAACCUCUGUACAUAAAAAGGUUUACAUUUUAAAACAAACAUGUUUUUGAGUUUUAUCCAAAUUCAAAAAACACAUCUGAAAAAUUUAGCAGCUGAAAAACACUUUCUCCUUGCUGGGAAAACUUAAACCUCGCUAGGCUUUAUGCAACUUUAAAAAAACACUUCUGUGCUGAGAACUAGCAUGAGAAAUCUCAGCAUGAAAGGUUGUUGGAAUUUUUUUUUCUAUGAAGAAUUGAAACCAAUUGUUGGGUUUAAAAUGAUACCACAAUAUACAUAUUCUCUGUGAGGAACAAAAGAUUUUUCAUCAAAUAUAAUUUCAAGGGCACCUUCAACAAAAUUUAGAGGGGGGGAGAUAAAGGCUACUUAAGCAGUAAUCCAGUGUCUGAAAGCAAAGGUUGAGGACAUCAUUGUAUCGUCAAGGUCUGGAAACACUGCUAACCCUGAUCUGGUUGUUACCAUUUGAAAAGCCUAUGGGUAUUUGUUUUAUUAUUGUCUCACUCAAUCCUUACUUAGCCAAGAGUGUCUCACAAGGGAAGCACUGCUCUGUGAUGGUGUUCUGGACUUUGUUUUCUAUUUGUUUCCGCACUUCAAUAAAUGGUCUCUUACCUGCCAUUAUGACCUACAUGCAUUUGCUGAGCAGUUUUUUGUUGUUGUUGUUGUUUUGUGGGGAUUUUUUUUCUGAGCAGUUUUUCAAAUCAAAUAAAGUUAUGUGGCUGUAUUUCUAGAAAGCUGAGCCAUUCUCACAACAGUAAGGAAUUGUAAACAUCCAUAGCACUAUAUGUUUGUACUGGGAACAUAUGUUCGGGCAUACUCAGAAAAUAAGAAAAUAGGCUGGUCAAUACAAAUAGGAAGGUAUAACCUGUUCAUAACAUUUAUAGCCCAUGCUCCUAACAACAUAUAUAUGUAGAAAUGACUUUGUGAAGAAGACCCACAGAAGCGUGUUCCUCUUAAUACUCUCUCAGGAAUAAAGGACACAAAGUAAUUUUUAAAAUACCAUACUGGCUACUUUUAAAAUGUAAUGUAAGGGUAGUGACUUGGGGUGUCAUAGAUGGGAAAAGAGACAACAACAUACCUCUAGUAUUGACUUGGUGAUUUUUUUUAUAAGUCCUUCCUUGAAGACAGGCUUAGAUAUUUCAAGACCUCCUUAGAGAAAUUUUUCAGCACCUUCUGUGCUCCAAAUUGAGUCAGUUUCCAUCGUAUUUCAGUAUAACUGAGUAACAGGCUGGCAAAUUCCCUGCUUUCCUAUUCACAAAAGUCUAAAAUAAAACUGACAAAAACUCCUUUAUCUCUCCCACCCCUUCAGAAAACACCCCACUGUGCCACUGUGCCCUCUCUCCCCCAAGAAAGGCACACACACACACACACACACUCACACACACACACACACACACACACACACACACCAGUAAAUAGAGCUAGCCCUGAAAGACAAAUUCCCAGCUGUAACUCUUGCACUUUGCUCAGUACUGUGAGCUUGAUAACACUGGCACAUUUUUAUACUAUACAUGCAUAAAUGUACUGGGAGGCAGAGGAAUUGCAAUGUCCCCUUUGGUGUUUCCUGACUCCCUUGGUCUAAAGUAUGUUGCACAGGAGUAGCCUAACCAGCUUCACAAUAAAAGACUCAAUUUACCAUCUCAUUUGUUUUUCUUAAAAUGCAGCCUGUGACUUAAUUUUUCAUAAAGUUUGUAUUAAACUAUCUUUUUCAGAAUUUCAGAACUUUCUUCCCAAUAUGGAUUUUCAGAGGCUGUGUCUCACUCUCACACAUAUACAUUUGCACGCACACUUGCAGAUUACUUCUAAUAUAUAAAUCUGAACUUCUUCCAAGAUUUUGUAAAGUAUGUGUGUGCAUGUUUGAUAAUGAAGGUAAUCAAACUAUAAAUAAUUGUUCAAAGCCAAGAUAGAUAUUAAUUUUUUGAGCCAUGAGAUAUGCAUUUUUGACAGGUAGCUUAAUUUGUGGAAUACCUCCUUUAAAAUCAUUUUCUAGAAUAAAAUUUUUAAAUAAUAUUGAUUAAAGUGAAAGAAAGGAAAAAUCCAUAUAAAGGUCCAGUUAAACAUUCAAAAUUGGAUCAAAGUUUGGCCCAAAAUACAGAUCUGCCUCUAAAAGAUAAAAAUUAGACAGGCUGAAGUCUAUGCAAAAGAACUCAAGGUACAAAAGCCAUUUUUAGUAGCUCACAGAUGAAUCUUAGAGAUUCAGACCGUGUUUAUUAAUUCAUCUUUAAGCUUCAGUUUCUUUAGCUAUCAUAUAAGAAUAGUAACUCUUAUGAUAAUGCUCCCUAAAGGUGGUAAUGGGUCAGAAAUAUUGUAGCAUUGGUAGUAACUUUGGAGAUGGAGAUGAGGCAUACUUAAGUGUUAUUUAUGGCAUGUUUCUGAGUACAUAUGUCAUGUUUCUUUACAACCACAUUUAAUUAUGCAAUCAAUGUUUGUUUUUUCAAAGUGACAUUUAUUGCACACUGACUGUACAUCAGGCAGUGUGAUAGGCACUUGAUACACCUGAUCUCAUAUAAUCCUUACAACAGUCCUCUAAGUUACCUUUAUUAUACCCAUUUUUCAGGUGAGGGAGUAGAAGCAGAGAAAACAUCAGCAGUUCCCAACAGAUAGAUAAGGAGGUACUGAGGGAGUCAGACCCUGAACCAAACAGUCUAAUCCUAAACUAACCUAGGAAAAUAAUUAUAAAUAAACAAAAUUCAUUGUACACAAAAUAUUUAAUUGCAAAUAUAUACAGAAGUAGAAACAGUAUCAUAGGAAAACUCAUGAGUUCCUUGCUGUGCUUUGUAAAAAUUAUUAGCUCCUGGCAAAUCUUGUUAUAUUUAUGUUGUAAGAAGUCCAUCUCCCAGGGAGAGCUUUAGUGUAGUAUAUGUCCACUACAUACAUUUUUGAGACAUUAAAAUGUUUAUGAAGAUCUUAUAGAAUGGACUGUUUCUGCUGCACAUUAAAUUGAAAGACAAUGUACAUGAUUAUGCAUAUGAUACAGUCACAACUAUUUUCUAAAAAUGAGAUUCUAAAUUGUCAAAAUAUACUAUUUAAAAUUUUUGUAUUACUACUUUCCUGUAUUUUCUAAAUUGUAUGAGUAUACUUUAUUUAGGAAAUAAUUAGUUUCCCUAAUAUUCAGAAAAAUAUAUAGAUGUCUUCAUAUAUAAAGAGAGAAUUUAUUUACCUGACUUCAUUGUGGAAGUUGGGUUUAUGUAAUAGAAUCUUCUACAUAGUAGAGUUUAUCCCCUCUUAAUUAUCAAUAGAUACUUCUUAUUUUGUUCAUUUUAAGUUUUGAUGUAUUGCAUCUUAAAUUUAUAUACAUACCUAGUUUUCAUAGAAUACAGUUAACAUAAUUUAAACUUUUCUAAUGAUUUGGGGUUAUCAUUUGGAUUAAUAUUGUACUAUAUUUAUAUUAUGCUGAUGAGGAUAUGAAAUUAUAAAAAUAAUGUUGUAUAUUUGAAUAUUAUUUUGUAGUCUCCAAGCUGUUACGUGUGACAUUAACCAGUUGGUCCUUAUUCUAUUAAAUUAUUUGCUCCCUUGCUUAUUUACCCCUGAACUGCUAUAAUAUUUUUUACACUCAUGUAUUUUUAGGGUUCUUAUUUAUCUUCAUUAGCUAUCAUUUUACUUUUUGUUGUGCAAGUCUCUAAGAUCUUCAUUUCUUUUCUGAUGCUCUACUUCUACUCUGCUUUGGGCAAGGAAAAUCACCAACCAGUUCUGCUUAGGUUGUGUAUAAAGUUCAUGCAUUAACUCAUCACUUGACAAAACUUGUAAACAGUACAGUUGUAUACUCAGCACUGGAGGGGAUACACAGACAAAUAAGAUCCAAAUGCUGCCCCUCCCCCCAAAAAAGUUUUAAUCUAGCAGGAGAGCUGAGACAUGUGCUUACUUUGCUAGAAUUCAUAGUAACAUUGUUAUAUUCCAUAAAAGUAGUACAGAUUAAAAGUAGUUUUGGAGUUCACAGUAGGAUUAACCACCAGAGUGGAUUUGGACCUAAAAGGCAAGGAAGAUGUGAGCAUACAAAGAUGAAAGAAAAAUAUAUUUCUGAAACCAUGAGCAAAGGAUAGAAGAACUGAGGGUUAAUGAAUCUGCAAAGAAGUUGAGUUUAACUGGAGCAUAGAGUCUGAAGGUGAGUAGUGGGAAAUAAAGUGGUUAAAGUAGAGUGCGCCCAGAAAGUGAAAGGACUUGAUUACCAGGUGAAGGAAUGUGGGCUUUAUUCAAUAGGCACUGGGGAGCUGUUCAGAGUUUUCAGUAGGAGAGUAACAUAAUCAGAGCUGUAUCUCCAGAAGAUUAAUCUGGCAACAGUGAGUAAAAUGGAUUGGAGUGGGGAAAAAACCAGAGGACGCAAGCUUAGCUUAGGUAGGAAACUUAACACAAUAGUCCAAGUAGAAGGCAAUGAAGGCCCUAACUAGGACAGGGGCAGAGGGACUGAACUGAGAUAGCAAACUGAUUUAUGGCACAUGGCAGAAGAGAAUUAAUACAUUAUAUUUAGGGAGCAAGUAAGAGGAAGGUACCAAAGAAAUCUCUUUGAUUUUAAACCUGGGUGGAGCCAUUAACAGAAACAGAGGGCAGCUAGCAGAAGCAGACUUGGGAGGGUAAGGCACCAGCUUAAUUUUGAACACACUGAGUGAAGCUGCUGACUGUGUAACCAUGAGAAGCCCACUGGGCUUUUGGAAACAUGAGACUGCAGUGCCUAGAAAGGCCUGGCAUGGAGGCGAGGAUUUUUGAGUUAUCUAUAUCUAACUGGCCAAAGAGGCAAGAGGCAGACUUAUCAAAGUGACUUAAAGGACUUAUGGGUGUCCUAAUUAAUAUGAGUUCGGGGUGCUUGCAGGCUUCUUUUUUUUUUUAACUUUCCACUCUUAACAGAAAGAAAUGUCACACAGGUGGCUUGCAGAUAAGUGAACCAUUGCUUCCUCAAAACAAACGUAAAAUAUUUUCUAAGAUAAUGAAGAAAUUUGGAAUAUAGUUAAUAGGAUCAAUUUCACAUUGUCUGUAGUCUGUACUACAUUUAUCCUCACAUAAAUGUAGUUCUCUGUGACCUUAGAGAAGUCUUACCUCUCUGGUUCUCAAGUCACAUAUCAGAUAAAGGAAGAAAUUGAUUAAGAUCCCUGGUCCCCAUAACUAGCAACAAGCAGCCAAAACCAACAUUGAGUCUGAAUAACAUGGGGAAGGAGGAGAAGAGGGUCAAGGUUCAGGAAUCUAUUUUUUUUAACCUUCCUAUGUGAUUCUGCUCUACAGCCUGAGUUGGAAACCACUGGGUUACAUAAACUCUUAGGUUCAUUCCAACUCUUUCAUUCUAAAGUUUUAUCAAUAUCUACACAAAUUAUGCAUUUUUCACAACUCAUAAGUGAGAAAACAUAUCCAAAAUGCAAAUUUACUGUCAAAUUCCAUUCAUCUAUAACAAAAUACUCCCCCUUUCCCCUUUAGGUUAGAAGGAUGAUGUAUAUUUAAAGUCUAUUUGAAAAGUGCUAUAAUUUAGAAACCUUCUGUGAUAAAUUAUAAAGUGUGAGAGAUAUGGGGCGGGGGUUGAAAAAGAAAGCCUGGGAGGGUGAGACAUAUGCACAGUGCUCUUUUCCAGCCAUCCCCAGGAACUACUCACGUUCCCACAGGUCAAGUUUGCCUGUGCUCUGCAGUUGAUUUCAGUGCUCUCUCUGGCUGUUCUUGCUGAGAUGUGUGUGGUCCUGGUGCUGCUUUUGAUUUUAUCUCUCACACUGUUUUUUUAAGCAUUUCAAAAGAAUCUCUGUGAAAAUCCAGCACAGGUCUUAAGUAGAAUUUUUAAAAAGUGUUGGGCAUAGAAUUCCAAAAGAGCACAUGAGCUGUUUCUUUGAUGGGCUAACCUUUAACAUGCCCCGUUUGUUGUGUUCAGUUUCUAUCCUACAUUCCUAAUUUAAUACUUACAUGGCUCUCAUUAUUACAGCAUUGUUUUAGCAUUCAGGAAACAUAUAUUCUGAAGGCCCCAUCAAAUCUACAGUAUGCUGGACUGGGCAUACAUGAGAAAAGGAGAGGACUUACAUAUCAAUUUUUUCUUUAUUUUCUAUAUUCUCUUGUCCCAUCCUUCCAAUGAGAAUGCAGUUUGCUGAACUUGGCAAGUUGGGCUGGAUUAUCCUAGAGUGUAAAAAUCUGGAAAAUCUGAAUGUUACCAACUUGCAAAUGAAUUUUGAUAGCCCAUUUGCUCAAGAAGUAUUUACUAGGGAGCUACAAGAAGGAGGGAACUGUCUUAAGUUACUUUUCUUGUUGCUGAGACAAAGUGCCUGACACCCAAAGUUAAGGGAGUGAAGGUUUAUUUAGCACGCAGUUUGUAAAGGCUUCAGUCCAUAAUGAGCUGCCUCCAAGGCAGGAUGGCAUGGCAGACAGGCAUCGCCAAGGAGAAACAGUUUGUGGCAGGCAGAAGGUAGCAAAGCAAGCCACAAACUACAAGGAACUAGCAGCAAGCCUCUUUCUGUCUCUUAUAUGGUACCCAGUCUUCUCGCCCUUCAGGCAACUAGCAAUCACACCCUUACUUCUAGCAUUGCACCAAGAAUCACACACUCUAGCUCCAGCUAGCUCUGAAAAAAGCCCCACCUAUGACCACAUGAGGCUUUGGGGGGACAUCUAGAUACAAGCCGUAAUAGGAACUGUGCUCAGUUCUGAAGUCAGGAAUUAGCAGCCAGUUGUAGUGAUUUUGAUUGUGCCCUGGCUACUGCCAAAUUACUACAGUAAUGAUGUCGCAAGUAUGUUACUUGUAUUUACCCCUUAACUGUCUUUUCACUGAAAUAUAUUUGGCAUUCUCAGUUGCCCUUAGAUAAAUCCUUCUCUCACUCUCAUUUGUAUCAACCCAUCCUUCUACUUUUUACCUCCACAGUUAGUUACCCAUUUCCUUUCCCAAGUCGUAUUGCAGCUCCUUCACUUUAAUCAGACUCUGUUAAGUGGUCUAGUAACCUCAUUAAGGUAAUUUACUUCAAGGUAUGAAUGAGACUUAGCUAUCUUGGAAAAAUUUAUAUUUUAAAAAAUAUCUCUUGUUAGACAACUGGUUUUGAUUCACCCUCGACUUAAUGGCAUGUGAAGAGAGGUACAGUGUAUUUUUGAGCAGGGCCAUCAGGUGCAUCCUUUUUGUUCCUGUCCCCCAACACACAAGACUUUAUUUAUAUUUUUUCUUUUUUAAAUUUUUAUUAGUUAAUAUUUGCAGUACAUAAUGUUUACAUUCCUUGUAUGGAGCUUGUCCAUGUGCAUAACACAUCUUAGUACCUUUUUUCAUCCCCUUUCCCUCCUUUCCUCUCCUCCAUCUCAUUUUUUUUUUUUUUUUUUUUUUUGGUACCGGGGAUUGAACUCAGGUCCUUGCGCUAGCAAGGUAGGCAGUGGAACCACUGAGCUACAUCCCCAGCCCCUCCUCCAUCUCUUGAUCCCCUUCCCAUUUGGGAAAGAUCUAUCUUUUUAUUUCCUAUUAUUUUUUACUUUGUUCUUUAUUUAUAAUUUGGAUUUCUCAUAUAAGAAAAACCAUCCAAUAUUUAAGCUUGUGUGACUGCUUUAUUUCAAGUAACAUUAUGCCUUGAAGUGCAUCUAUUUUCCAAGAGAUGACUCAAAUUUAUCUUUCUCUAUGGCAAAGAGGUACUCCAUUGUAUUUAAGUACCACAUUUUCUUUAUCCUUUCAUCUGUUAAUGAACAUAUAAGCUGCUGCCAAGAUUUAUGUAUUAUGAAUUGUGCUGCUGUAAAUAUGGGUAUGUAUGUGUCACUCUAAUAUGAUAUCUUUAAUUCUUUUGGGAGGAUACCAAGAAGGGGAAUAGCUGGGUCAAACGGAAUUUCUAGUUUUAGUUUUUGAGGACUCAGUAUACUGAUUUCCAUAGUGGUUGUAUUAGUUUUCGUUCCCACCAAAAAUAGGGAAAUGUUCCUUUUUCCUUUUUCCUUUUUUUUAUAUCCUCACAAAUACUUGUUACUAUUUGAUUUCUUGAUGAUAGCCAUUCUUUUUGGGGUAUGAUGAAAUCUCAGUAUUGCUUUAAUUUGCAUUUCUGUAAUGGCCAGUAAUGUUGAGCAUUUCUUCAUGUAUUUAUUGGUCAUUUGUACUUUUUCUUGCCCAUGUUUUGACUGGGUCUUUUAUUUGGGUGAAAAAGUUAUAUCUGUGUGCGUGUGUGUGUGUGUGUGUGUGUGUGUCAUUGCUAUUUAUUAUCUCUACUCCCCUCAACAACUUUGAUUUAAAUUCCCUCUACUGUUACCACCUCAGAGGACCUAAUUAUUGAGAGUCAUGUAUUGAUCAGUUCAGUUUCUUGAACAUGAACUUUGUCAGCUACAUUGUAGACCCAAGGAGAUAAUGACCAAAGCUACAUAUUUUAUAAACAAAGACUUAGGACAUAAUUUUAUAAAUAUGAGUGUAUUUGUGGGGAUAAAAGACACAAGUCUUGGCCGGAGAUUAAGCUCAGUGAUUUCUCCACCUGCUGCGCAAGCACAAGGACCUGAGUUCAAUCCCUGGUACCAAAAAAAAAAAAAAAAGACACAAGUCUUAAAAACCAGUCUGUCCCAGGAAAUCAGAAGCUUAUGGUUCUUGUAGCUAUUCUUAGAAUGUGAAUUCCAUAUGCUGGUCAAAGAUGAAUUUCAGAGUCAGAUCGUAAGAAUAUGAUCUCUCUGAUAACUCACUGAAUUAAGAAAGCAGGAUCAAUGACACUGGUAAAAGUUGUCUGCAUUUCAGAAAGGUGUUUUUCCUUGCUAAAGAAGAUAGCAGAGACUUUGGAGUCAUAUCUGGUUUGUAUGCAAAGUUUACCGCAUAAAAUCUAGGGACAAACUCUAGUUUAAUUGCCUUGAUCAAACUAUUUAUUUUAGUAUUAAUUUCCUUAUCAGUAACAGGUUAAUGAUACCCAUCUUGCAGACAUUUUAUGAAGAUUAGAAAUCAUGUAUAAAAACCUGGCAUGAUAUUUGUUCUAAAUAAGUAUAUUUCCUGGAAAUCUGGAACCAAGUUUAUUUUCAAGAUGAAAAAGGAACUGAAAUCAUGCCCACUUUCCACAUAUAACUGAGCUCUAUAAUUUAAAAACAAACAAAAACCUAUCCAACUACCAUAGAACCUGGAUAUAAGCAUUUUCCACAUUUACCUUUUUAACCCCAAUGUAUCCAGUAAGUACACACAGAUAGGCAGGUUGAAUAUAAAUUAUUUUUUCAAUGAUUUCUAAAGGGAAAGCUUUCAAAAGAUUCCUAAUGUACUUCACCAAUAUAAAAGUAUCUUUUGUUAAUAUGUAAGGUAAACAUACAGUAACUGAGGCUUGUCAUUAAAAUAAAAAAGAAAUGAUCUUCUAACAUUUUAUGGAGAAAUACAGACACUUAGUGAAACCUCACUAAAAAAAAGACUCUUGUUUUGAUAUAUUUAAUGCCUAAUUCCCAAGUAGAAGUAUUGCUGCUAUCUAAAUAAAUCUUGAGUAUUUUAGAUAAGUUGUAAAAUUAUGUGCUGAGUGGUUUUUGUUUCUUGUUUCUAAUGAAUCAGUAAUUUUGACCUUCGUUCCAUAUGCCUCUUUAAUUUAUGGUGAAUAAAGUAAUUCUGAUUUUUCAAAAAUUAAUACAUAUUCUCAAGCCACCAAGUUUCCAAAUUAUGAUAUUUCCAAUGGCAAAUGAAAUAACAUGCUGUCCAUGCAGUUAGUGAUUUGAGGCAAUUUGAACAUCAUGAUAAGAGAGGGGGGGAAUUACAAGCAGUGUUAUAAUUAAAGGUCUGUUGAUUCCUCAGUUUAAAUGCCAUUGUUGAAAGAUUUUUCACUCAGAUGUCAAAGUCUGUGGCCAGCCAAAACUUGGCAUGCUAGAACUCAGCCCAGGGAAACAUUGUGUUCUACAAAUUUAAAAACCAAAAUCUGUUAAGAACAGAAAUGUUGCACUUGGGCUGAUUUCUCAUGAAUCAGAACCAGAACAUGGCCAAAUACCACCUUCUUUAUGAAAGGAGGUAGUGCAGGUGGAUGCUAAUGAGAAAUAUUUGUUCAGAUGGAAAAUAAAGGGAAAUUGUCAUUAGAUGUCAAUAUACAGUACACUGGGUUAAAGAUCUAUAUCAUUAAACAUGUUCCCUUGAAAACUUCAAAACAUUUUAGAAGGCUUUUCUAGUUAAUUCUUUUGGGGUGUUAAAUGAGGAGAAGUAUUUUCCCAUUUUCUAAGAUUCAUGCAUGAGGUUCAGUUUCUCCAUAUCCCUUGUUACUAGGAAAACUUGAAGUGCUUUGUUAACUCGCAGUUUAGGAAUAUAUUCCCAACUACUGUGUCUCCCUUUAAUUUGAAGGCUACAAACUAGUGACCUCUGAUCUGCACCUAGAUAGCUGGUAGAAUAUUUUAAAUCUAUUUUUUGUCUGUACUACAGUAUUUUAAAAUAGUUUAAGCCAGCUUUUAAAGACAAAGAGAUUACACACAAAGAAAUCCAGAUUUUUCUGGCUUCUCUUGAAAAAAUUGGAGAUCUGGCAACAUUAGACCUGCAUCCCCACAUGGCACCAGUAUUGGAACUGAGUAGCAGCUGCUCCCUUUAGACAAGCCAUGUUCUCUCCAGUUUGACAACAUCCCUGUUGUCCCAUGUUUCAUGCCACACCCACUUUAUCAUUUACUCUACCACCUUGGCUCCUGGAAGUAUUUGAUUUUUUUCAUUGGUUAUGUUAGUUCUGUUAAGUUUCUUUGCUUUCCUAUUAUUAAGUGUUAAGGCUUACAAAAGUUUCUUUCCAACAAAUACUAGCAUUACAAAGGCUACUUUAAAUUAUACUAACAAAAACAUUAUUGAAAAGUAUAAAAAUCAGAAUGUAACCCAAACAGGAGAUUGCUUAAAUACAUCCAUAGAAUGAAAUAGUGUGCAGGAUUUAAAAAUGUGUGUCUUAAACAAAUGCAGGCUGUAAAACAAUGUAUACAGCAAGAUUUCUAUUUUUAGGAGGAAAAUAUUAGUAUAAAAAAGCUAAUGUGUCCAGACUGGAGGGGUUGAAGGGAGGGCUGGGCAAGGUUGAAAAAUAAGAACCAAGAGAGACUAUGUAAAGGUGCAAAUUUCCAAUGAUGAAUGUCAUUAUAUUGUAUACCUAAAAUGUACCAAUGAUUAGAAUGAAUAAUCGAUAAUGCAAAAUAGGAAUAAAAGGUCCAAAGGGGUAGGGGUAGUGGGAAGGGCAGGGGAAAGGAAAGAAGGGAAAGGAAAAAAUGAUGAGAAAUGAAAAAAAU
RNAcentral lists this long non-coding RNA (50853 nucleotides) under Heterocephalus glaber (naked mole-rat). RNAcentral's name for it is "lncRNA (ENSHGLG00000044968.1)". Lineage: Eukaryota; Metazoa; Chordata; Mammalia; Rodentia; Bathyergidae. The record is from RNAcentral.